GAGAAUCUAGUUUUCUCUGGUUAUUUUCCUUCAUAAUUUUCUUUCCUUCUCUAAUAGAGUGUAAGAGUUGUACAUGUAGAAAAUCAAAUUACAAUAAUUGAUGAACGGCACAAGAUAUAAAAACUAGAAAGUAGAAACCAUGAACAGAACAAGUAAAUGAAUCGGCAAGGAGCAGAAUACAGUCCACUCCAAUAUUGAACUCUAGCCGCCAAAAAGAUAACCCUUUCCACUGAAAAAGACUUUUAGGACAGAAACUAAAGCAUGACGUUGGCAGAUGCCAACCCGUAAUUCAAUUUGGACAUGCUUGCAAGCAAAAUAAAAAAAUUGCGGCAAAUAUAAAAUUGCACUUAACCAUACAUUUAAACAGAACGUUUUAUUCUUCUUUGGCUAAUAUCCGAGGAACCCAACUAACAGUCAAACCCAACUACCCAACACUAAGUUGCUCGAGAAGAAAAUCCCUCCACCCCCACACACCCCCCUGAUUCAGUAUCAUUUGGAUUAUCUGCACCCUCAGUGAUAUCUGCAGCAACCAAACUGUUUUGUGUACUGUCGUCAGCAUCAGCAGAUAAAGGAGAGUCGGGAUAUUCAUCUUCUGGAACUUCUGAAGGAUCAUAGCUGACAAUAGCUAAGGAAGCAUCGACAAGAUGCUCAUUCAAUAGCCUCAACAUUAAAGUGGGAUAGCUCGGCGGGACAAGCUUGAGCUUGUGUUCUGGCGUAUGCUGCUGAUUGAACCUCCCGGGAAGCUUGGAGCGAGUAUUAUAGCAGUCUCCACAAAGGUCAAAACCAAUUUUCUCAACACAAUCUUUGCAUUGAUAUCUAUCCCCGAUGAUAGGAUACAUCUGUUAAUACAAAUAUACUCUAUUAUUAUAGGAUACAUCUAUCAAUCCAAAUAUACAUGAUACUUGGGGCAAUAGAACAACACUAAUAAGUGCCACUACGUUAGAAAUUUUGAAGGAUUCAUUGAUUAUAUUUCUCAUUUCAAGUACACAUAGAAAAGACUCGGUGUGAUUCAAAGUAUUGUUCAGAUUGAAAAUCAAUCAAAGGACGCACACCAUUAUUCAAUUCGCAGAACCACAAGGCAAUUACUGCACAAAGUCAGACAGAACGAUAGCGAGGAACAUCUGCAUUUGACAAUAAGUUGCAAAAUCAAUAGAUUUUUGCAUCAACUCCCCAAAAAACAGAGAGAUUCAGCAUGCACUUCAUAGCAUGUGUUACAAACGUUUUUGUAUUUGCAUGUAUCAGAGAGAGCUCUAUGGACUAACAUUUCAAGAUAUUGCAAUCUUGAGAUGGCCCUCUGAUAGCAGCUGACUAAAUAAAUAAUAAAAUAUACAACUAUUGUAGAACAAUCAUUAUAUAUUAUAUUGGAAACAAAAAAUUCAAAUAGACGACCCCAACUAUUUUGGACAAAGGUUAGUUGUUAAAUAAUGCUUAGCCCACCUUCCAGCACAGUCCAAAAAAGAAAAAAAAAGAUGUCAAUGUCAAUAAACUUAACAUUCCAAACAAUGAUAGCUAGUCUCCAUAUUACAAAGACACUAUCUAACCAAAAAUACAUCGAACACCAAGUAUUGAGGUGCACUUGGUGCCAAAUAUGCAUUGUCGCUUCAAACGAGAGAAUCAAUACAAAAGCAUGAAAUGAAGGGCUAGAAUUUACCCCACAAAAAUCGCAACCAACUCCAUAAUGGACCUUCAAGUGAGAGUUCACCACCUGUGGCAAAUGCUCUGCCUUUGGAAUUGAUGACAAGAGAGAAUCUUUGUUACUAGCUCCUGUAGAAUCUGAAGCAGACAACAUGGCAACUUAUAAUGUCCAAAUUCAGAAAAUAGCAUAUCGUCUUAUUGAAGCAAAAGAUUACCAUAGAAUAAAAUUAUACUCGUGUAAUUGGACAGGAAGGUAAAACAAAUUAACAAAUAAUACAGUUAAAUGGAUUUGGGACUCGUCUCAUAUGCAUGUGUGCCAUUUAGGAACAUGCACUUACUGCCACCACAAACUCCCACCCAUCCCCUCCCUCCUCCCCCAACCCCAGCAAAAAAAAAAAAGGCCUGCCUUGAAAAUUUUUUCUUUAAAAAAAAGCCAAACAAGCUUCCUUAUGUGCUUCUCUCGAGUUGGCAGCCUAAGAUUUACACAUUAGAUUAAGCAUGUCAAGCAUUCCUUGACAUUUCAUGCAGUUGAACAGCAGAAGUCCUAGGUAACCGGAAAAAAAAAAAAGAUGACAAAAGAACCAUAAUUCAAGCAGUAAAAGGAAAGGGACUACACAGUUAGCUUUAGAAAGGAGCAGACAUACAGGUAGGGUUCUCAUUGUCAGAAAGUGCUUGUUUAAGCUGAACAGCUUCUCUUCUCAAGGCAUACUCUCUAGGAAAAUGUUCCUGCACAAAGUGAUCAAGAUCCAAACAGACUUUUGGGCAACCAAUUGGGUGCAGAGAUUGACAAGCUUGACAUCGAAGCAUCCCAUCAGAUGAACCUACUAUGCAACUUUCACAAUACCCUGAAACAAGACAAAAAAUACAAAAGCAGAAUAUCAUCACCGGAAUCUCGAGACAGUAGGUAAUAGCAUCUGAUAGCAUUUAACUGGCCAAAUUAAAAUAUAAAAGGUUACCAUGGCCACAGUUAAGAAUAACUGGACGAAAAAGCAGUUGCUUGCACGCAAUGCACUGUACAUCAGCAACUGAUACCUGCUUGCAAUUUCCAUUAGGUUCUCCCGUCCUGGUGGAGCAAGACUCUGAGCAUGAGUUGGAGUACAAACUACUGGAUGAUGAAUGUUCAGGAUCCUUCAGGUGAUCAUAUUCUUGAUUGGCAUGUGAUCCACAUGCACUGCAAUUGAGCUGCGGUGAAAAACAGCCCCUUUCUUUUUCUUCCACUGGAACAUGCAAACGCGUCAAUGUCAUAUCAUUAAGUUUUACUGGUCCUACCUGAUAAAAAAAAGGAAAAAUAAUGCCAUACUACUGCCUUUACCGAAGCUAAUCACCACCAUGCUGUAUAAUAUGGAAGAGCAAAUUCAAGCUAGAAUUAGCAACCGUUAUAUUUAAAAUGAAAAUGUCUAUCAAUACCUCAUUAAGGGGAGAAAUCAAGAAACGAGCAGUAUAGUUUUUGAAGAUUGUUUCAUUUAUUAGGUUAUAUAUUUAUUUUUUGACUUCCAUUGGUAGCUAUUGUCCUGCUCCAAGUCAGUUAGACUAUAUGCAUCAUAUGCUGUGAAGCAGUGCAUCUGUGCAAAGGAAACACUCCAGAAGAAUAUGAAGCUCACCUAGAGUUUGUUCUUCCCUUCUCUUGUAUGCAACCGGAUACAUCUUGAGGAGCAAGAAGUGUAAAAUCUGACAGAUGGUUGGAAAGUGAUUAUAUGGACGCCUACAAAUGGGACAAUGGGAUGCUCGUACGCCAUUCAUGCAGUUAUGGACACACCAGAAACAGGAAACAUGACCACAAGCUGCAAUGAAAGGAAAAUGGACAAAAGACAUUAGUUUUGCAUUUGAUUUGAUAUUCUCAAAGCAAAUGUAGUAAAGCAAUGCCUUACAGAGCACUAUGGGUUUGAAUAAAAGAUCCCUGAAAACAAAAGUAGAAAGCAAAUUUAGAAUUAGCUAGUACAAAAUAAUAAAUAAUUCAAGAUCAUAAAGCAACUAUGAGAACACGAACAAGAAUACAAGUCAUACAUAACCUUGAUUGAGCUAUAGCUACAUGGGUACAUAUAUAAAGCUACUAACCUAAUGAUAAUAAUUAUAAUGCAAGAUAUCCCAUUAUCUAGUGCAGUCCACCAUAUCAUAAUUGAUGUAAGUACAUCCCCGCAAAAAAAAAAAAAAACAACUUAACUAAUCUCACAUUUGACAUCAAAUUUUGUUUAUUUGUCAUAAAGACCAAUGCAAAAAUGCACAAUAUUUGGAAAAAAAACAUAAGAUGUAAGAAACAGUAAUGCAAAAUAAAGUUAAGAAAUUUGACUUAAUUCCAUAAAAUUUUAUGGAAUUUAUGUGUAAUUCCAUAACUCUUAUGUUUCAGAAUAUAAAAUUAUUUAACAUAGUGUUUAGUCCAACUCUAUUAGAGUUUAGAAUUCAUUUGAAAUGAAUUCUACUUGAAUUCAUUUGAACUGAAUUCCAAUGUUUGGCUUGAUACGAAAUGUAAAAUUCAAUUGUAUUCCAUAUUAUAACUGUUUGGUAUAAUUCCAUAUACAAUUUCAUAUGUCCCUAUUUCCUAACUACUAUCAAUAGUAACAUUUUUAGGAACAAUAAUUUUUAACUCAAGUAAACAAAAAAAUCUUAUAUCCAAUAGAUUUAUAAUGGUUAAACAACUAUAUAAACCAAUUAAUAAUAUAUGCUGAUAAACUUCAUUUAAAAGUAUAUUUUUUCUUAUUUCCUAAACUACUAUCAAUAGUAACAUUUAGAGACAAUAAUUUUUAACUCAAGUAAAAAAAAUCUAAUAUCUGAUAAAUUUAUAUUGGUUAAAAAAAUACAUAAACCAAUUAACAAUAUGCUAAUAAAUUUGAAUUAAAAAUAAAACAAUCUAAUAAUAAAUAUCAAAUUAAUUCAUAGGCCUCAAAAUAGGAGGUUUACCUAACAACAUAAAUAAUGUCAUUGAUAAGUGCAUUAUAAACUUAGAUAUUAGAAAGCUAAUAUUAAAAUAUCUGGUGUUGUUUUUAUGCUUUGCGUGUGAUUUUUAUUGUUUUUAUUUCUAAUUUUUUUGAAAUAAAUAAUCUAUUUAAUUGAUUUAUUAAGGAUAUUUUGGUCCUACAAAUAAUAUUAUGUUGGUUUUGUAGAAUUCAUUUCAAAUUCCAUCAAAUUUUGAUAGAAUUUAGUUUCAGCUAUAACCAAUUCCACAUAAUUGAAUUCUUGAAACUAAACUCAUGAAAUUCAAUUAAAUUACAACAGGAAUUGAACCAAGCAGUCUCUAAAACUCUUUUACAAUUCUAUGUUCAUAAAAAUUAUAAUUUGCAAAAUACAAAAUUCUAUUGACAGAAUAAACUUUGUCAAAGAAGGCUUCAUCACCACUUCAUACCCAAUUCAUAAAAUUACUGAACGUUCCAAACACAUAACUAAAUAACAAUCUAGAUAAUGUUAUCUGGACCCAAUUCUUCAUUUUGUUCUCUUCACAUACCGAAAAAAUAUAAUUAAAAUGGAUAAAAAGUCCCAAUUUUGUAACCUCAAAUCUGUUAACCACAUCAUUAUUGAUUAAUAUAGCAGAAAUAGUAUUAAAAAGGUAAAGUUAAGAGCAAUUACAGACAAAUGCAACAGAUAAAGCAAUCGGAAAUGUUCUCCUCCGAUUCAACAGCGGUAGAAGUGGCGGUGGCGGUGGGUUCACCCUUCCCCAUGGUUAAAUUGUUGAUAAAUGCAACAGAAAGACGAAUAGAAUGUCAAAGAUUGUCACAUAUAAGGUCCCAAUUUGAAAAUUGAAACCCUAGAUCUUGACAAAAUGGCGACGAGGAAGGGAGCUAAACAUACACUGUUGUUGGGACGGAGUCGGUUUAUGCAAAAGGAAAAAUAGAUAACGACUUCUCUCUGAUAGAGGCGGUUAUUAAAUUUUUUUUUUUUUUAUCCGCUUUCAAUUUGUUAUCUUCACUUUUUUAUCUUGUACUGAUUAAUAAUAUUCGCUAAAAAUAAAAUUGUUGGCUGUCAAACCUAUCUGAAUUUAAUUAGUAAACUUCUAUUUAGAUUUUUUUUUUUUUUUUUAAUUUUGUGUGGUCAAUCAAUGUCAGUAUGUGUAAAUAUAAUACUCAUUAAAAGUAGAAUAUGAUUAUAAUAAAUCACAAAGUUUUAAGGUAUUUUCGUUUAGAAGGCUUUCAAUGCUCAAUCAUUGAUGUUUGAAUUCUAAAUGGAGAUAGGUGGCAUCGUUUUUCACACCAAUUGCUAAUUCCAUAUAAAUCAUAUCUCAAAUUAGUAAUUACAAUUAAAUUAUAAAUUAAAGCAUGAAUAAUAAAAUAAAUAUAAAAGAUUGUGUCAGGCGCAACUUAGAUCAUUUAGCAUGGCUCUAAUAAACUUUCUGUUAAGAGUUCCAUUUCAUGCUUCUUUUUCAUUCUCACUGCAUUUUCUUCCAUUAGCCGCGAAAAUCUAAAACUUACAUCCUAUGUCUCUGGCCAUCUUAGAGGUUUACUUUUGAAGCAUUUUUGGUUAGCACGCACUUCUAGCAUGCAGGCCAAACAAUUUAAGAAUCUAAAAUAUAAGUAAAUACUAUAUAAAGGAAUUGAAAAAAAAAAAAAAAAAAAAAAAAAAAAAAAAAAAAGAAGCUCAAACAGUAUCUAUCAGAACUGGAUUUCUGUACACAUGAUCUAUUGCCAAUUAGGAAUCUACCAUGAAAUCUUCCGCCAAACAAGCUGCUACACCUGCUUCUUGAUUCUCAGAACCUUCAACCAAAUAGAAUCACAAAAAAAAUGCACUACAAAUUACCUAUUUAGCAACUAAUACAUUUAUGUAGGGUAAACAAUAACUCCAAAAGAAAAAAAAAAAAUUGUGCAGCUGAUCUAACCAAUAUUCCAUUGCUUGCUCCAUAGAUUUCUGCGAAGCUAAUGCCUUAUCGGGACUUCUAUUUCCAUAGUUUAACAGAGCUGUCAUGACUUGCAGAAGCCACCAUUCCGGUGAUGGGGGACUGUGCCAAGGCUGAGAUUAUGUUCUCAUGAGCUGCAAUUGUCAUACUCUUAUUCUCAGCUAUGUUCCAUAGCUCCAAGGACUACAGCCACAAUUAAAAAUAUCAAAUCAAUUAGUUUAGAAAGGCAGCAUUUAACAGGAAUUAUGAGUCUGAACUCAUUGCGAUGCAUCUGGGUGGAGACUUGCUAUGAUGCUGGCGCAAAAUGGAGAAAAACCUGAAUCAUGAAUCCAUUCAAUUCAAGUGAGGAGAAUAUUAUGUUUAUCCUAUGAAUAUGAUCAUACCAAGAAAUGCCAAAGCACCAAAGUGAACUCCUUGCCAUGUUGUAUAUGAACCAAAUUGUGUGUGAAGCAGGUUUUGUUUUUUCUUUUCCAACAAUUACAUGUAUCUCUAAGAAAAAUAUAAUUUAUACCCUGGAGUCAGUAGUUAUGCCAACAGCCAGAAAAUAAACACAGAUAGGAAAGUAGAAAAAUAAAAAAUUUACAUCAGUUUACUAAUUUCACAUUAUAAUAUUUGGUUGUACUCUAAUCAUUUCAAAAGUAUUCCAUAUUUGUCCUUUUGUGUGUGUUACAGAUGAUAAAUAUAUUGAAAAAUUGCACCAAAGACCUCAGCUUCAAAGAAACUUUAUAAUAGAUAUCUAACUCAAAUAUCCUAGUCCACAAGCAAUCCAUUUCCAUGAGAUGUUCAGGUAGCAAUGAUCAGUGAAGUAAAAAUAUCAAACAACUGUCGAUAUCAAAAAUAGGAGCCAUGCAUAAACCAUGAAAGACAUGCCUUAACACGCAUAAUCAUGUCUACUAUGAAUAAUCACCAGCAAGACAUUACAAAACUUUGUCUAUACCAGUUUAUAGAGUAAUCCAAGAAAGGAGGACCUACCGAGAUUCCUCCUAUCACCAGGAGGGUUGAGUAACUUGGAUGGAAAACACAAGAAUGGAACUGAUUUCCAUUAGAACUAAGCUCCUGAAAGCACUCCCCUGAGGCCAAAGACCAUAUCUUCACCGAGUUCUGACUUACAGAUGCCAAAAUAUCCCCAGUUGCAUCCCAGCAUAUGUAGUUCACCAUUUCAGAAUGGCCCUAUAAAUAAUAUGAGGAACCAUUAUGGACAUCAACAGUCAACAAAAGUUUAUUUUCUGAAAGCUACUCUUCAUACAUUUUCUUAUUUUAAUAUCAGUGUACCAACUGCCUGAACUUGGCCAGAAUUACUAACAGUCCAUCAUUUCAAAUGGUGUACCUGGAAUGAAUGAGUUUGCCUAUCAGUUUCGACAUCAAAUAUGGACACCACUUUAUCCGAUGCUGCUGCCAAUAAAUGUCCAAUUCUUGGUUGAAAUCUCACUUGUGCAGCACCUCCCUGAGCAAAAGAUUGAACCAGAACAGUGAUUCAAUGCAGCUUACUAGAAGAACUGAAAGACCCAACAAAGAAUGAAUAAAGGACAAUAAUGCUAAAUAACAAACCUUAGAAAUGCGAGUGCAGGAAAAUGGAUUUAUAGUAAAAUAGCGAACUUCCUUUUCGUUGUCACUAAAACAGAAAAGGUCAGUUUUCUUAGGAUGAAAGUCCAGGGACAUGACAGGCAUCUGCCCUGUAUAUGCUUGUACGCUAUAGCUUGGCUGUGAGACAAACAUAAAAGAAUAAAACAUUAUAUUAGGAAUUACGGCACAGAACAACUUAUGGUAUGGAUUAUGAAUCAUUGGCAGAAAACUGAAAGCACAGCAAGCAAAAGAAAUGAACUAAAUGCCAAUUUACAACUAAAGAUGUCAUGAAUGCUCAGUUGAACCUAAAGCCUUCAGGACUCAACUGGAUUUAUGAACAAUACAGAGAAAGAUACUCACAUUGGCUGCAUCCCAUAAUCGCACAGAUUUGUCAACUGAUGCUGUGGCUAACUGAGACGAAUUCGGUCUGAAACGAACAUCUGUGAUAAUCAAUUUGUGCUCUUCAGGAGUUGUCUCCGUCUGUAGGGUAUCCAUGUUCCACAGGACAAUCUAAUGCAUACAGCAAACAGUAACUUAUAUGAUAUUUAGCUUCAGUUCAUAUUACAUUUUUCAACUUCUUGUUUAUACUCUGCUCAUAUGCUGAUGAAGGUAACAGAGCCACAUGUUGCUUAUUAGUUCAAACCGAUACAUGACCGUGCAAAGCAGACAAUUAGAUGCUUAAAGAACGAGAGUAACUCUUGUCAUAAAUGCAGAGACCCACAGUGGCAAGGAACAUUGGUUUAAUGAAAUUUGUUAACAGCAGGAGUUGCUGCUUGUGCUUCCCAAGUUGGCUCUAUGCACUUGGGAUUUUAGGCCACACUGUCUAUAAUUCUUAACGGACACUAUUAUGAGCAAUAACUGAAUGAACCAAUUGUCCGUUUGGGAAAAUAUGUUUUCAAGCAUGGAUUUACCAUCUGUAAUAUUACACAUUAUACCUUCUUGUCAUGUCCAGCACUGGCUAGCAAUUUUCCAUCUGAAGAAAAAUGACAGCAAGUGACCAUACUAUUUCUUGUCCGUAUGCAACCAACCUCACCAAAAGUAAAACCUGCAAUUGAUAGCGUGAUUGUAAAUCAAGUAUAAAGUGAAUGUCAUUCCAACUUCAUAAAGACACAAGAGGAUGAUGCCAUGGCGGAUUUGAUUACCUUUAGUAGAUUCCUUUUGGUGCUCAGUGGAACUUUGCUUCAGCGUUCCAUAUAAAUCCCUUCCAUCCCCUCCAUCAUGAGGAAGAAACUGUUCCAUAUUAUCAUCCAGGGCAGCAAUAUCUCCAAAGCGGUCCAUGUCUUCCUGCACAAGACAAAUGAUUGCCCUCAGAAGCACGAUCAUGCUUAUUUUUUAUGCAUUUCUACACUUCAAAGCAUUCAAAAUGUAGUUACAUUGGAAGAAAUUCUUUUUAAAACAACAAAGUUGUGAUAAUAUGCUAGAAAAUAAAAUCUGAUAGAUUGAUAUUAGCACACAAUCAUUAAUGUAUCACGAAAGAACCAGAGAUUCCAUAUAUUUGUGAAAAUUGGAGACUGCAUGCUCAUAAUUCAGAAUUGAAAGUUAAUAAAGUGUCUGUUAUAUAAUUUCCUAAUUCUUCACACCACUUUUUUACCAGCAUGCUAGAAGAGGAUGCAAGACCUCCUGUCCCCUCUGGACCAUAUAUCAUCAAGCCUUUUGACACACCAUGCUGCAAAUUAUCACCAGGGGUGUGUGUUGAUGGAGGAGAACUGGGCGAAGGACCCACAGUAUUCCCUGUACCAGUGCUGUUAGCAGCUCCGGAAGAAGAGUGUUGCUUCCUUUUUCUGUUACUCUGUAGCCACCCACUAAAGAAUUAUUAGCAUAAUGCAUUUUAAUGUGGGUUAUCCAGAAUGCACAUAACUUCAGAGAAAAUUGUACUGCCCUUGCAAAUACAUUCAUGUCAGGUCAUAAGCUGAGAUUCAAGUUCAUCGUGAACAAAAUAAGAACAACCUGUUGCAACUGUUGUUGUUGCUGUUGUAAUUGGUCCUGUUGUUGAGAUGAAGAAUGCUGCAUCUGGGCCAUCUUCAUCUGGUUAACAUGCACCAAAUACUCAGUAAUAUGGCAUUUAGGACUGAUUAAAGAUUCUCAAGUCCUUAAUUGAUAUUCACAGGAAAGGAAGCCAGAGCAAGUUCCAAAAAGAUUUUAGAGAUGCAUUCUUAAUAACUCAGAAAAUCAGAGACAUAACAUGUAGAACGAAAGUUCAUACUUAUUAUUGCAAUAUAAAUGUGAUUAUAAGAAUAACAAUCAUUGAUGGAGAUGCAUUACAUGAACACAAUCAAUAGUUUGCUUCUAUUUGGAUGGCAUUUUCCCUUCACAACCCAUCCCACAACAGGAGCACAGGAACAAAACACCAAAUAGAAUGGAGAAAAGAAAUUAAAAAUAAAGCAGGCUUCAUCUUCCUCUUUGAAAGAAACAAUAGUAAAACUUUCUAUUUUACUGGGAAUGAAGAAGGGAUUAAAAAAGUUCGACUUUCCUUUAACAUGAGAUGAUUUAUAUGUUGGUCUUUGCAUCUGAAUAUAUGUACAAAACAUGAAGGCAGGAGAAAUCCAAACACAAAAAUGCAUAGCCUCUAUCUCUCAUUGUCUUAUCACAGCUUAAUCAGCCAGGAUAAAAAAGGUACCAUACGUUUCAACUAUUAGCAUGAAUUGAAAGUUGGUGGCUCAGUAAUGAAUUUUCCUUAUUAUCGAGAAUGUUGUUGUGUACAUAAAAUAACCAUUAAAAAAAUAAUCUAUUUGACAGACAUAAUGCAUCAGAUCUUAUCGUUUCUUUUCCCUAAUUAAUCAUACAAAUUGGAGAGAGAAUAAAUAAAGUCAUCAUUUAAUUUCCAAAACUAUUUUCAAUUUUUCAAUAAAUAAUUUUUCCUUAUCAAGAAUUAUGAAUUACAUAAUUAAUUGGUUGUCUUUAACUAAAUGCAAUUGUUUAGAAAAUUUCCAUUAAUAAUCAAUUUUAUAAGGGGCAUAUAAAGUCUAAAAUUUAAUACAUUCAAACAAUUAAGCUGAUAAAAAGAAGUGUGUUUUUGUGUGUGUGUGUGUGUGUGUGUGUGUGGUUAUUUGGGUUAUUUGGGAAGAUAUCUGAACCUUUGGUGAGCUUGAUUGCACAGGAGAGCAUAUUGAUCCAUCAUUUCUAGUGGAUUGAACAUCUUUAGUGAUCAAGCUACUCCUAGGCAACUGACUUAGCCGUCGUGGGUCCAUGUCUCCAAAAUUAUUUGAAUUUCCAACGCUACUCUGAGCUUGAGCUUGUGCCAGGACCUGCUGUUGUUGUGAAGCCAAAAGAAACUGAUUUUGGGUCUGCAGGUUAGGUUUCUGCAUCUGUACACCCAAGCCUGGCCUUAAUUGAUCAAUUCCCUGUAGCAUUUAGGUGUAUUUUGCAGUCAUAAACAUGGACAUAUGCAAAUAAAAGAUACAUGGAAUAUCCAGCAUAAGAAAAACCAAAUGCAACUUACAGUUAAGGGCCAACCCUUCAAUGGAAGACCAGUUACACCUUGAUUCAAUCCUGAAUGAAGAAAGAAAAUCAUUUUUUCCGUUUAAUUUGCAAAGAGCAAUCAUUUCCAACCAAGAUUGUUAAGCAGGGUAUUUAACUAUGUCCAGUGAAGAACCUAGCAUGUCAUUAAAAAUUCAAUGCGGCAGAAACGGGAACAGAAUGCUAAAUAAAUCUCUGUGCGCGCACGUGCUUGGACAGGAUAUUUACUUUUCAGUGUUCACAUUUUUAAAUUCUAAAAUGAACUCAACUGAGUAGCAUCCAUCUAUAAUGGAUAUGGACACAACCACCUUAUGGAUAAUAACUUCAAAAGAGAAAAGAUAUGUAUAGUAAUAACACAUUUGGAACUUAACAUUGUAUUAACUAACCCAUAAAAUAUACCAACCAAGCCAGAAAAUCCUAAAUGUAAAUUUAAGGUUACUGAAUUAUCUCACAUUGCAACAUGCCAACAUUUACUCGAUUGCGAUGCUAUCUCUCAGUACUCAAUACAUGACAUUAACAUUAAUUUUCAAUUUUUCUUUCCAAAACCGUAUUAUCUGUAGAAGGAUAAAAAAAAACAUGUGUGCUGUACUCAAGAAAUGAUGACAAACAUUUCAUAUGGCAAUCUCUUCCACCAUUACCUGCACCACCUAGUCCAGAUUUUGAUUGUAGAAUUGCUUGUCCAUAAAUGGAUGAAGGGUCCAUGGGCAAAUUUUUCUGAGUUGGGCCCAAGUUAACUUCACUUUUGAUGUCCUAUAAACUCCAUGUGUGAAACAGGUCACAACUGGUGGAAUGGACAUUCUAAAUGAACAGAAAUGGAACAAGAGCAGGAACUAGCAAAAUUAAAGCAGAGGCUGGUCCAAGUAGUUACAGUUGUCAAAGAAGUCCGCGCUUGGAUCUGCUGCAAAGCUGCUGACAUGUUCCCAGAAUUACCCUGUACCAGCUGGCUGAAUCCACAAGGACUCAAGAAAUUGAUUAUCCAAUCCAACUGGGCUGAAUGACUGUAAAAUUAGAGGUCAAGAAUGCAUAUAAUUAUACCUCUGAUGACUUGUUGCUGACUUGAAAAGCGCCAUCCUAUUAGCAUCAAUUAGAGCCGGCGCUGUCUCUGAGUCCAUAGAAUGAGGGUGUUUAAUGCGUUCUUCAUACAUCUUCAUUGCCAAAACACUAGCUGAUGGCUGCCCCAUCAUUCCUUCCGAGUUCAUAGCAUUUAUAGAACCAGCAAGAGCUGGAUGAUUAGGGUCCCUUCGUUGCAGCUGAGCAUUGCGAUGUUGCAUUAGUUGCAACUGCUGCAUUUGCAGUUGCUGUUGCUGCUCCCUGACCUUGAUUUGCUGUGCCUAUUUUCCGUGUAAAUUGUAUAUAAUCAAAAUGAUGAAAGUGAAAGUGAAAGCACAUAGGUCACCUUCUCUAACCAAGAAAACACCAAAUAGAAAAAGAAAAAUGGACCACUAAGACACCUCUAUAUAAGCUGCAGCAGCCUCAGAAUGUUUCUCAUUUGUCCUUGCAAUAAAAAUGUCCCAAAAGACAGACCACCAUUCAAAUAGAAAUCCUCCAGGUGCAUCAAUUGCUGCACACAAAUUAUAACUUAGCAAUAAAGCUCAAUACGUGCAUUCAGAAAGUUCAGGUAAAGCAAGAAUCAUACUCAUCCUCUAAUUUUCCCUAAUAAGGUUUUCAUUUUGCAUACACUGAUUAACUAAAACAAUGUGAAUAGCCCAAAAACAACCUAGUGUGUUUGCCAUUACAUAAACAACCUAGUUAUGCAUUAAAAAAAAUUAAAUUAAAUUACUCAACUAGCCAACAACAUUACCUACUGGAUCUGUGGCCACCUUCCCUUCAGUCAUAAAAGCUUUUGCAGAAUUAUGCAAUUUUCUCUUCAACAAAUAAUCAUGAAUAUACACAUCAAGCCUAUACCAAGAAAAGAGAAAAUAUCACUACAAUAAUUUACCUAACAACACUAAAAAAGCAUGAAAAAAACUUGAAACACCGAAUCAACUAAAACUCAGACGACAAAACAAAAAUUAUUAACAGAGCACAUACAUCUUAUCAGCUUCCCAAUUAUUCUGCCCCAUAUUUCUCUUUUGCAACAAGGACUAAAGAAUUACAAAUGAUCACAGCUCUUAUCUGCAAGAAAAAGCAUCACUACUUCAGAUCUCUUCUAUAAAGUAACAAUAAUUCAAGCCAUUUAAAACCAAAAAGCAAAUAAAGAAGAAGAAUAAUGAGAACAAACACUAUAAAGAAAAUCAAGCUUAUAACACAUAAUCUUACCUCAAUUUCCAAAACAGCAAAAUUAGCUUUGCCAAGUUCAAAAUUAUGGCUCUGGAAAUGCAAAGGUUCAACUAUAACAUAAUCUCACAAGAUCUCCACAUGAAAAACCCUAAAUUCAAGAAAAUCAACCAAACGAAAAUUCAAAGUUGGCAAAAGAAACACAUAAUUCAACCAUGGAAACAAAAAUUUCGCUAGGGAACUAAGAAUUCCAUACAGUUCGUAUGAGUUUAAAAGAAUCAAGAUUCUUAAAUUGACGUAGCUGAGACAAAUUUUGAGCAAUUGAAGAUUCUCUUUGAGUGUAAGUGAAGUAGAACUGUUCGAGCUUUAACAGCGGGAGAUAAAAAGCAGAACCGAAUCGUGAGCAUGGAGUGACAUUCGCGGAAAACUCGCUAUGAUGCUACAUUGUUGUCGUUUUCAUGGUUAGUAUAUAUAUAAGCUUACGGUUUGGAGUUAGGUUCGGUAAAGCAAGCUUUGGAUUUUUAAUAGGCUCGGUAGGUCACGGCCCUGUCGACCGAUUAAGUAUCGAACGAGUUUGCAUGUGAAGGGAGACAGCUCAAUUCAUGCACACGCGCGAGUUGAGGAUUAUGCGUUUUGGCGGAUGUGGACUGGAGUUGAGGAGUGAAUAUGUGUUCGAGGUUUACCUAACACGUUGGGUCUGAGAGACAGCAUCGUAUUUCCAAAUAAAAUUUUGAAUUAACUGUAAACUACUACAUUUUUAAUUGAAUUUACCUUUACGGUUAAGGUAGUUACAAUUUCAAACUAUUAUUAUUGGAAGAAUUUCAUUUAAAUAUUACUUGAUUUUAAAUGCAUAUGAAUCUAUUUUUUCCAUCCAUAAGUAUAAAUGACUAAGAUUUUCGCACAAUAAUUAAUAAAAUAUUUUUCUUAAAAAGAUUAAUAAAAUAAUUAAUUUUCUUAAAUUAUAAUAAAAUAUUUAUUAAUUUAAAUAAAUACUCUUUAUUUCGUAUUAUUAAUUUGUCUAAAGAUUGUUUUAGGAAAUUAUAGAAAUAAUUAAAAUAAAAUUUAAAAAACAUUAAUUAUUUUUUAAUAUUUUUAAAAUGACUUAUAUUUAUAAAUAGAAAGACUAAUUAAUAGUUAUAAACGGGUAAAUACAACUGUUUGUGGGUUGGUCGAUUUAAUUUGAAGUAAUAAUAUAAUCAAAUCUAAAGUGGUGGUCUGAAAAAAUUAAAAAUCAAACUAAACUUUUAAAAGCGGUUUCAUUCAAUAUUAAACGGUUUAAGAGAAAUAAAUUAAACUUCUCCAUUUAUCUAGUUAAUAAGGAAAAUAAUGCUAUAUUAAAUGUUUACUAUAGUAUUAAUCAUUGCAUAAAUUAUUUACUAUAGUAUUAAUAAUUUAAAAAUAAUUUUAAGUUAGUUCGAAUCGGUUAGAAUAGUUUGGGCAUUUUGAUAACUAUCAUAUCAUCAAAACACCACGGUAGGAAAAUAAAUGAAUGAAAUUCAAUUUGUCCUAUAAAAUUAGAAGUAAUAUAUAAUUUUGCCAAAAAAAUAAAUUUUUUAUAUAAUUUAUCUCUUAAAUUUGCACUAAAUUUUUAAUUUUUAAUACUUUUACCUAAUAAAAAGUAUAUAAAAAGUUAGAAAUUAGGAAAGAAAAAAUUAUUUUAAUAUAUAAUAAUAAUUUUAAAAAAUUACUUCAUCUUGUCUUUGAUUUACAAAAUAAUUAAUCAAAACAUUUGAUUUAAAAAAAUUAUAGAAUAAGAAAAAUAUUUAAUUGUAUUUAGUUUUAAAAAUAUUUAUUGUUAUUUGUAUAGUUUUUUAAUUAUAUUUGAUUUGAAGAGUAAAUUAUACAAAAAAUUAAUUUUUGAACAAAUUAUUUAUUAUUUUUAAACUCAAAAUACAAAUUAAGGUACACUAAGAUAUAACUCAUUGACAAUACAUGUACAACCGGAUAAUAAACUCAGUUUUAAGUAUUUUUCCCUAAAUACUAGGAAAAAAAAAAAAAGGCAAAUUGAGAUUUAUUAAAAAAGAUAAGUAGACAAGUGUUUGAGGUUUGUUUUUUUACAAAGAAACGUUCGAGGUUUAACGAUAAAAUAUUUGUGAAGGAACGUCCGUGACGCUCGGGAGUGUCUUCGUGUCAUGCGCUGAAUUCACGUAGGACGCAAGCUAUGUCAGGGGAGACAUAAAUAGGCUCACGCAUUAGCAUUUAGUAGAAAUCGGGCUAAUGGAGUGUGAAGUUGGGAAAUUUUUGAUUUCAUUGUCUUCCCUUUCUCUAUAUAGAGUCUUGUUAUUUACGUCAACUUCCAAUUACUUUGGUUUCGUCAAAAUUUACAAAUUUUGGGUAUUAAAUUAUUCCCUUUAGGACAUUAUCUUGCAAUCUGUCCAAUUUAAUAUCAUGUGACAUCCCAGCAACAAAAGCUUGCUGAUUUUUAAUUUAGGUUUACUAUGUUCAAAUAUGUAAAGUAGGGUGAAAAUUGAAGCAAUAAAGAAAAAGGGAGAAAGUCAACACAAAUGUAUAGUUAAUUUAGUAAAAAAAUGGUUUAAAUAUAUGAAGUACUGAAAAUUUGUAUGCAGAUAUGAAAUUUAAGUUUGAUUUUUACCAAAUAUAAUUUGAAUAAAAAAUUAAUGGUUACCAAAUGAUUCAGUUCUCGUAGAUGAAGUAAAUACGAGCGGGAUAUUAUCUUAAUAUAAUAUGCUGAAAAUACUUUUAGUUAGUAGUAAAAAGAAAAGAAAAUGUAUGGGGAAAAUAUUCUGUGAAAGUAUUUAGUUAAUACAAUCUUUAUAUUAGUAUUUAGAGAUUGAAGAGAAAAUAUUUUGUGAAACGUGAAUAAUUAUUUAAAUUUUUUUGAAAAUAAAAUUCAUUAAUAAUAAUAUCAACAAUUACAAAUAAGCGUAUAGACUAUAUAUAAAACUUUAGCUAAUAUAGUUGUUGAUCUUUUUAAUGAAAUAAAAUCAUAUUUUUUUGAAUAAAAAUAAAGUUAAAAUAUAUUAUUUAAAAUUUUUAAGCUAAUAUAGGUCCUGAUCUUUUUAAUGAAAUAAAAAAAUUCAUAGAUAAGUAGACAAGUGUUUGAGGUUUGUUUUUUUACAAAGAAACGUUCGAGGUUUAACGAUAAAAUAUUUGUGAAGGAACGUCCGUGACGCUCGGGAGUGUCUUCGUGUCAUGCGCUGAAUUCACGUAGGACGCAAGCUAUGUCAGGGGAGACAUAAAUAGGCUCACGCAUUAGCAUUUAGUAGAAAUCGGGCUAAUGGAGUGUGAAGUUGGGAAAUUUUUGAUUUCAUUGUCUUCCCUUUCUCUAUAUAGAGUCUUGUUAUUUACGUCAACUUCCAAUUACUUUGGUUUCGUCAAAAUUUACAAAUUUUGGGUAUUAAAUUAUUCCCUUUAGGACAUUAUCUUGCAAUCUGUCCAAUUUAAUAUCAUGUGACAUCCCAGCAACAAAAGCUUGCUGAUUUUUAAUUUAGGUUUACUAUGUUCAAAUAUGUAAAGUAGGGUGAAAAUUGAAGCAAUAAAGAAAAAGGGAGAAAGUCAACACAAAUGUAUAGUUAAUUUAGUAAAAAAAUGGUUUAAAUAUAUGAAGUACUGAAAAUUUGUAUGCAGAUAUGAAAUUUAAGUUUGAUUUUUACCAAAUAUAAUUUGAAUAAAAAAUUAAUGGUUACCAAAUGAUUCAGUUCUCGUAGAUGAAGUAAAUACGAGCGGGAUAUUAUCUUAAUAUAAUAUGCUGAAAAUACUUUUAGUUAGUAGUAAAAAGAAAAGAAAAUGUAUGGGGAAAAUAUUCUGUGAAAGUAUUUAGUUAAUACAAUCUUUAUAUUAGUAUUUAGAGAUUGAAGAGAAAAUAUUUUGUGAAACGUGAAUAAUUAUUUAAAUUUUUUUGAAAAUAAAAUUCAUUAAUAAUAAUAUCAACAAUUACAAAUAAGCGUAUAGACUAUAUAUAAAACUUUAGCUAAUAUAGUUGUUGAUCUUUUUAAUGAAAUAAAAUCAUAUUUUUUUGAAUAAAAAUAAAGUUAAAAUAUAUUAUUUAAAAUUUUUAAGCUAAUAUAGGUCCUGAUCUUUUUAAUGAAAUAAAAAAAUUCAUAUCCUUUUAAAUGAAACUAAAAUUAAAAUAUAUUAUUUAAAAAUUUUAAGCUAUUGAAUAUUUAACAAUUAAUUCGAUAAUUGUUAUUACAAGAAUGUCUGAUAUUUAGUUUGACAAUAAUUAUUAAAUUCUUUAAGUUAUUUAAUAUUUAGCAAUUAAUCAGAUAGCUAUUAUUACAAGAACUAAUCUAGUUACAUGAUUGUCUCCAAACGUGUUUUCUUCUAAACAUAAUUCGAAUUUCAAAUUUACUUCCAAACAUUUUUUAUUAGCGUUAAAAAUAUCAUACUCAAUUUUAUAUUUUGGAAAUCUAUAUUUGAGAUCAAUUACUUAAAAAGAAAGGGAUCGAGGAAAAUAAAAUAUUUAUUCAAUAAUAAACAAUUCAAGGGCACUUCCAUUUUUAAUAAAUUCUACGCUAGCUCUCUUUCACUCACUAAAUAGCGAAAACUUUUAUAGUUAAAAUGACUCAAACUCAAAAUUUUUCACUCUUAACACUAAUCAAAAGACUAAUUAAUCCACACCUGAUUGGCUAGAGAAAUCUUUUUUUUUUUCCCCCUUGAGGUAUAAUCCUUUCAAGUUAUAAAGUGUAAAAGUUUUUUGCCCUUUCGUUUUCUGGGAUCGAACUUAUAUUUUAUCCUUACAGGAUUUGAGUUCGCUUAUCAUCUUAAUCAAUUCCUUGUUGAUGGCUAAAUAAUUUUUAAACAUAGGUGAUGUAUAAAUUCCAAAUAAUCUGUUUUUUUUUUUCCAAUGUAUUUCUUAAAUCUUUCAUUUUUCCAAUGUAUAACCUUUUAUUCUUUUCUAUACUUAAAUUUUUUCAUUACAAAAUUAAAUUUUAAGAGAAAUUUAAUAAAAAAAUUUUAAGAAUCUACAAUAAUGUUUUAAAAAAAUUGCAUUGUUCAAUAAAAGAAAUCGAAUUUUCUAAAGAAAAAAAAGGGUUUUUACUUUCAUGAAGUUCCAGUAACAUAUUUUAGUAAAAAAAUAAAUUAUUUUUAUUGUAAUGUUUUAUAAAAAGAUUCAAAUUAAAAUUUUUUUAAUAUUUUUACGAGGUGUCUAGGCUCGUUUAAUGGUCUACAAUAAAUUUGACUAAUUCGGCUCGCCUUCGAAGGCAAUUAAUUUUAUAGUCCAUUAAUUUUACUUUGAUCAUAAAAAAGUUCUGUAAAAAAAAAUUGAAAAUUUAGUGUAAAAAUUUAAAAUAAUGAUUACAUAACUUUAAAUAACAAAACAAUAAUGUUUUAUUUGUAAUAUUAGUUAUUAGUUAUAUUAGUAUUUUUUUUAUUUGAGUUGCUAGUUAUAUUAGUUGUUGUAAUAAUAAAUAUUUGAUUAAUUGUUAAAUAUUAAAUAAUUUAAAAAGAUUUAAUUAAUUAUUGUCAAACUAGGCGUUUUAAUAAGCUGGAUUAGUGAUUAGUCUGCGUUAACUUAUUUUAACCGAAGAACCGAAAAUGAUUAAGAAGGGACACCGACGAUGAAGAGAAAUUAAACCAAUAGCACACGUGUCAUAAGACGAUUGGCUAGGGUGUUCUAGAAGGUCAUAGAAGAGGAAUAGAGGGAUCCAAACUUCUGGCCGCGGUGCAAAAGUCGUUGCGGACAGCUUUGGGGCCCAGAUCCCCAACCAUAAAUAUAAAUUCAUUUCGGUUGUGGCCGCGCAAACAAACAAUUGGCAAGUGCAAAGCCUGAGACGCCGGUUUUCUUCUUUUCAGGUGAGUUCUCUUCUUCUUGUUUCUUCUUUUUUAUUUUUUGUUAAAUUUUCAACUGCGAAUCUUGGUCGUUUAGCGUUAUGGAUUAUGUGGGGGUUGUCAAUGUCUUGAUCUUUGACAGAUUUUGUGGCCAUGUGUUGUUUUUGUUUCAUUUUUGGAUGGAAUUUGAUCUAGAUCUGUAUUAUUUGGAAUGGAAGCUCGUGAAUGUUUGAUUAGCUUGAAUAAAAUUCUCUAAUUUUAUUGUGUAUUUUGUUAGGUUUGUUUUUCUUUGAUUGAUUUUUGCUAGAAAUUUUAAUUUCCGUGUGAAUUGCAGAAUCUUGGGCUCUUAUUCGUUGAUCUCGCAAUUUAUUAUGCUGACUUACUGAAGUUGCGCGCUUUUGCUUAUUUUGAAUUUGUGUUUUGAAGGUGACAUCUUGAUCUCCCAAAACAGACUUCAUUAGUUAGGACAUCUUUUGCGGUGGUAAAGACUCAAACUUUUUGUUUCCAUAUUGGAAGAUGGCUGAGGUAUAGAAUUCUUUUGUUUUUGUUUGUUUUAUAAAGUAUUAAAAUCCAUCUGUCAUCGGCAUUUGUAAUAUGCUUAGGAUUUCUAUUCAUGUGUGUAAAAUGGUGGUGGCAGGAGGGUCACAAGGUUACCUUGAAUGUGUAUGACCUCAGCCAAGGAUUGGCACGUCAUCUCUCAACAACGUUUUUGGGAAAAGCUAUUGAGGGUAUUUGGUAAGAUUUUAGUGUACAGCAGGAAGUUAAGGCAUAACGUCACUAUAUCUGCAUUGAGAAAAAGAAAAUGUUUUUGAACUAUGAUGAGAUGUAUAUGUUAAUGAAUAUUUCGUUUGUGCCAUCUUAUGAUGUAAUAUGAAUAUAAGCUUAGUUUUAUUGUUACAAUAUGAAAGUAUUCUGCAAGUACAACUCGUAUUGCUACAUAUUCAUUAGCUCUGUGGACUGUUCAGCGGAUUAAUCCUCCUUUCUAUCAUCUUGAUGGACUAAUGUUGAUUCCAAUUUGACUCGUGGAAGCAUUUUCUUAUAUUCUAUUGUUCAGUGUUUUUUCUUUAUCCAAUUUUUGUCGCUUUGGUGAUUAGUGGAGAUGUAGAGUAUACAUGAGAUUAGUUUUAGUUCUAGUGCCUUUUUGUUGAAAUGGAAAUGAAAUUUUCCUGUGGCAUGUAUUGAAAAUUGAUAGGUAGUAUUAAAAUAACGUCACAAGGAUACAGCUUUUUAUCCAACCUCUCUUCGAGGAAACGUUUGCAUAAAAUCAAAAAGUUUUAGGACAUUUGAUAAGUUCCUGUUCCUUUUUUUUCCCCUUUCUAUUUUGCUGCCUGAUUUACUUGUUCUUUUGCAUGGUAGGCACACAGGAGUAGUUGUGUAUGGUAAUGAAUACUAUUUUGGGGGAGGCAUACAGCAUGAUCCUGCUGGAAGAACUCCUUAUGGAACACCACUUAAAGUUGUAGAUUUGGGCGUCACACAUGUACCGCAGGAUGUAUUUGAAAUGUACUUGCAGGAAAUUAGCCCGCGGUAUACAGCUGAGACAUACAGUUUGCUUUCUCACAAUUGUAACAACUUUAGCAAUGAAGUUGCACAGUUUUUGGUUGGUGCAACUAUCCCAGACUACAUUAUUCAGCUGCCUAACGAAGUUGUGAACAGUCCAAUGGGUGCUCUUAUAAGUGAGUUUUCACCUACCUUUAUUCUUUGCACACUUCACUUUUUAACAGUCUUCUCAACCUAUCUGGUAUGGUGGCUGAUUGUCGAAUUUCUACCUUUUCAUAUGUAGUGCCCAUGAUACAAAAUCUGGAGUCAACAUUGAGAGCUGGAGCUGUUCCACAAGUCCCACAAUUCAGGCCUACUUCGAUGACCCAGCCCUCACCACCUGCGACAACUGCUAUUGAUAAACCCUCAGGUUUAAAAACAACUGUUAAAGCAGCUGAUGACAAAGUGGAAUCUGAAGAUACAAAGUCUGAGGGGCCAAAGGCAUCAAAGGCGUUGGUACCUCCUGCAGUCAAGCCUUCGGAAGUCAAUGGGGUUGCAGGAGAUCCUCUUGGCAAUGCUCGGAAUAAGGUGCAGGAGGAGAUAGGCCGUGAAUUUGCUGCAAUCAUGGCUACAGGCACAUUGCGAGCAAGUGAGGCUGCAGCUCUUGCAACCAGGAGAGUCAUGCAAAGAUAUGGAAAUACAAAUCUUACAGUGCAACAAAAUUAGAAAUUGUGUUUUCUUUAAAGCGAUCAGAAUUCAGAUGUAUACAUGUGCUCCCAGUGUAAGCCUAAAAUUGGCUGUAGUCUGGAAUUUGUGGAACCCCCCACCUCAUUGGUGUUUUAAAAUGCUAACUGAAUGGCACAUUGCCUGUUACUCGGUUUCUUCAGACCCUAAAUCUGUUCAAGAAUCUAAAUCUGUUCAAUGAUUUGCAUUCUAUGGUCUUUCAUUUGCUUUUUGCAUCUUUUAAGAUUUCCUUCCUUUCAAAAGAGGAAAAGGAAUACUAAAUAGAGGAUCAUUUGAAAUAUGGUCAUCUAAGCCCAGGUGGAGCAAGAGAAUGUAUAGCUACAACUGCCAAAACUUAAUAAUCCAUUUAACAACCACAAUAAAUUACAACGAAUGUCACUAACAAAAUUCUCUAGUGCCAAAUAAGGACUAUUGAACUCUAAAAAACACCAAAGCUCACUGCAAAACAGAGUAAUGAUCAAAGUGUCAAUUACUCAACAGUAGAAACAGUGAAUAGACAAAUUAAAACAAAAACAGCUACAGAAACACUCCUUACCAGAGGAUAUCAGAGAGUGGUUAUAUUUAUGUGAAAUUAAACCCAAAACCUCUAUCCUUUUUCCUCUUCUCUUGGAUAUGUUUGUGCGAAAUUUUUGCGAACAAGAUAUAGAUAUGUUUUUAAGCUAUUUAUCCCACAUCUGCUGAUUAGAACAGGAGGGGGGAAAUAAACAAUAUAAAAUAUAAAUAGCAAGCAUGAAGCAGCUUUAAAACAUACUUGGCUGGACGCGGCAAUGGGUGAUAAAAAUGCCUAGGACUAGAUCAAUGACUUCCAUUGCACUUAGGAGAGGUGCUGGUCUAAGGUCUCCUCAAACAGAGACUACCUUGUACUUUAUGGCAGUCAGGAAGGUUUCUUCUGUUCUUAAUAAGUGUGCAAAUUUCUAAAUACAAGCUCAAAGUAAUAGAUACUUUUAUUAUAAACAGUAAUUCGGGAAUAGUUUUAGUAUAUAGUAUAUAUAAUAAUAAUAAUAAUAAUAAUAUCAUAAUAUUUAUUUGGUAUAUGACACUAAAAGAAUAAUAAAAAUACAAAUUGACAGUAAUGAGCUGUGAGAAAAAGGGGCAGGGUACCCAUCCCUUUAAAGAUAAUACAUUUUUCACUCUGCGAGCAAUUUCUUUUUUGAAGCUAAAGAAUCAGAAGAUCCAUGUUACAUUUUCAACUACUCCAAGAAACACUAUGGCUGGUAUGUAUUUAUGCUUGUAACUUACUGUAAAGAUUAGUGUAUGUUUAUGCUAGGAAAUCCCUACUGUUCCUUGAGGGGUUGAUGACUGAUCUUGAUGAGUUGACCUAACAUUUUGAUUUUUCGAUUCAAUACUCGCUUCUCCAGACCGGCUAAAAGAAUCAGAAGGAAUGUUGAUUCCAGCAAAACCAAUCAUCACGGCUAUGGCUCCAAGGUAGUCCAUGAUGCCUGGGGCAUUGCCUGUUAGUGAAUCCACUAUGGCUGCCAAGGGGACCUGAAUUGUAAGACCAGCUGUUGCAACUGUGGUGGUUGUCAAAAGAACAGCCUUUGCCCAUAAAUAGUCACUCAGCACAUUAUCUAAUAAACCUGUUUAAGACACAAAAGGAAGGGAAUAAAAACUAAAGUUGAAUUCCAAUUUUUAAAGAAGCAGGUGUUUCUCAGAACAGAUAAUGCAACAUUAUUUUAUAUCAUACCAUCAUACUCGGGCAAAAUAUAAACAAGGGCUAAAAGAUAUAGUAAUUCCACCCUCUGCUUCUAUCAAUUAGAGAAAAAAAAACAUAUGGAAGAUGGAAACCAGUCAUAUGUUAUAAUGGCAUUAUGCCCAUUGCAGAAGCCGAUUAGCAUAACAUGUUCCUCUGAAAUGAAAGAUGAUCUAAUGCUGUCAUCUGGUCAACAUCGCAUUCCUUUUUUUUUUUUUUUCAUUUUUCUUAAAGAAUGAUAAGUAUGAUAACAGUGCAUAAAGAAUCGUGUGAGAGAACCAUGCAUACAGUGAUGUUCAGCAGAGCUGACCAAGAGAAAUUUCCUCCGUCGUGCAGGCAACAGAUUAUGCAUACAAGAAAGGUUAUUUGUAGAACUAGUUUGUACAGCAGGACAGAGUCAAUUUCAAAUUUGAAGAAGGUUGAUGCAUUGAGAAACUACUUUCAGAGAAUGUGCUGGCACUAAACAUCAAUAUGGAGAAUGUAAAAUGCAUACUAACGACAGUUACCACCUCACCAUGCCAAGUUUCAAACCAUGUGAGGAUUAGUGAGAUCUAUCUAUCUAUCUAUCUAUCUAUCAAUACUGCAAUUACUUAUGAUUCUUUUUCUAAAAGAGUACAAUAAAUGUACCACUGAGUUUUUUCACAAAAGUCAAAUGUGUAAAUAUGAAUCACAAACUGCAAAGAUGGCAACUAUAUCAUACAAGUUCAUUGAAAGGUAAUGUAGUCAUGCAGAUUGGCCAUUUUGUUGGUUGUGAAAGGCAUGAAACUCUAUAUAAUAAAACACAAAUGAUGAUUUAUGAAACAGGAUUUAGUGAAGAUACUAACUGCUAGGGUGCUUUAAUCACUUAUUAUUAACCUAUAUCAGGCUGCAUUAUAUACUUCAAAGAAAGUACUUAUUUCCAAGUUAACUUCUAUAUUGUAUAAUCCUAACAGAGAUGCAUUCUAUGGAAUAGUCAGAUACUUCUGGUUCAAAUAUGGUGAAUUUUGCAUCAAGUUUACACAUAGAUUUGGCACAAGUAGCCACUACUGCACUUCCCAUAUCAAAUCUUCAGGUAAGCCUAGUAACAUAUGAUCUGCUUUUGGAGGUCUACUAAUAAAUAAUGAUAUAAUUUCUUGGGAGGAUCCUUGAACUCACUGACUAACAAUGACAGUGGCUGAUAUCCCAUUGAAUACAAAAAAAAUGUUCUUGCUCAUUGAUGAAUUAGAUGGCUUAGUAUGUCAACAUCACAAAAACUACACUUAUCUAAAGAUAUUAGAAACAUAAACAAAAAAAGAACGGAUAUAGAAGUACAGAAAAAAUUGUGUGCACAGGAAAUAUUACAUGUUGUACAAUUAUAAACAGCCCAUAAUGUCAAUAAUGCAUCAGUUUCUGUUCAAGGAACAUUAAGUAAAAUACUGAGAAAGCUUUCGCUAGUAACAUAAUAUGUAUCCUGCAUUUCAAGGCAUAGACAAAAGCACAAAGUUAAACAUUGUGAAACUUUCAUUGUCAUGCAAGAAUGAAUAGAAUACAAACCUUUGCCAACAAUUAGACCAAACUGCUUCCAGGUAAGGAUAUUAAAAGGCUCUAACUUGGUGAAAUUCAGUACAAGAGCAACAGGAAGAAAAAUGAACAGGUUGAAAAGCCCUAAAUAUCCAAGAAACUGUGCCAUACUGGCAUGACCAUCUUUUCCAUCAUCAUCAUCAGGUAAUUUCAUGCGAAUAAGUGUAAUAUACACAGCGUAAAACCCUGCUGAGAUGAGAGCAAGAAAGUCUCCAAGAAGAGGGUUUGAAGCAAUUGCACUUAAACCGGUUUUUGAGUCACCCAAGCUGACAAUUAUAGUUCCAGCCAUGCAGAGAAGAACACUUAGAAGCUUCACCCAAGUGAAUGUUUCACCCAAGAAUGCCAAAGAGACCAAAAAGGUAAAAAGACUGGACGCAGUGCUUAAAAUGGUAUUUGACUGCACAAAAACAAGGCAGAAGACUUAGUCGCACCUAUAUGACGAACUAUAGACACAUGUAUAAUAAAAAUUUGAAAGAUAGCUUACCGUCACAGUAGUAUACUUCAAUGAUAGAUUGAAAGUCAACUGGGCAAAAAACCAAAAUGGGCAGAUUAGCAGGCUGACCUUCGCGACUCUAGUACGUGUCCAUCGUCUUUUGGCAUCAACUCCUUCACUAGCCUCUACAGGUAAAGUUCUUUCAACUCCAUAUGACAUAGAUUCCACUUCUGAAUCAACACCAUCUCCAUGAGGACUGUUUCCUCCCUCAUCCACGAUAGUAAAUGAAUCCAACCCAUCAGCUUGUGCACCUAAAUCACUCUCUUCCAGAAGAAUGAGCUGCUCUGACUCUCCCAGUUCUUGUAAAGGGCUACUCUUUUUAUUCCUCCAGAAAAAUAAACCACCGUAAGUAUCCUCCAAAUAGCGCCCAAUUUCAACUAGGGGAAUGUAAACCACAAACAAUGAAUUGCAAAUGUAUGUAAUUAGAAAUGGUGAAACCCCAGAAUCAACAACUGAUUGAACCACAAAACUAGCAGCUAUCCAGAUAGUUGCAACCGCAACUAUGUAUACCAAACCUAAAAUCCAUCUCCAAGCUUUAGCUUGCAUAUUUCAAAACCCAAUAUUGAACCAAAACAAGCCCUCAAUCCUACAAGAAUGCUUAAAUAUCCAUUCCACUCAAAAUUUGCCAUACACCGUGUCAAUUAAAACUGCGGAACCCAUGUCCCAUUUGCACCCAAAACCUUACCUAAAACGACAAAUAUUGGAAACAAAACAGAGGCAUAAGGAUGGCUUAAACCCAGAACCCAAUAUAAUGUUGUUAAUUACAUAACCAUCAUCGUUGAAUUGGAAAAAAAUUUUGCAUUUAAAGAGAGAAUAAGAAUCGGAAAAAAAUUGAACUCGCAUCUGUCCUACAUACCAGAAACCAACUUUGCCGGUAGAGAGGAGGCACUGCACUGUAACCAAACCAGAUCUAUCUGCGACAAGAAUGAUUGUCUGGAUCUUCCUCGCUUACUGGCUGUGGUCUUCUUUUUUGUUUUUCGGCUGCUGCAAAACGCGUGUGGAUCGUUGUCGCGGUUGAUCUAUAGAGCCGGAAUUGUCGCUCAUGGCAUGGGCUGGGCCUUAUACUUUAAAGCCCAAUAAUAGAUGACACUGCUUUUUUCAGAGUCAACAUUAGGGUGAGUGAUAACCGGAAAACUGACCCGAACCGAUCAGGUUGGUAUAGUUUUGGUUGGUUUUAAUGGGAGUAAACAAAUGGUUUUUGGUUCGGAUUUAUACAGUUGCUAACUGAUUCUUUUCCCUCCUAAAAUAGUUAAAACUCUCUUAACCAAAUCGGUUCAAACAGAAUUAUGGUUUUAUGAAAUUUUUAUUUAAGAAAAGUGUGAAUAUUCUUAUGUAAUUUUUCAAACUACUCCUAAAUUUUCAAUAAAAAUAUAAUUAUCAAUUUCUAAUAAUAAAGUUUCUUUUACUCUAAAAUUUGAGUUCUAAUAAUUCAUCACACAAAAAAAAAAAAAAAAAAAAAAAAAAAAAAAACCAGUACUGUUUGCCUCGUUAAGUUGAGAGACAUACUCAAGAACUUACCACGCAUAUUGUUUGAGCUGUCAAGGGACAAUCUCUUUCCUUAUUUUACAUAAUUUAUGGUCUAUUAAUUGGAAUUAACUGUUUUAUUAAUUGUUAUUUGCAGCAGUAGUUGAUAGAUGUUUAACUAGCGUUUCACCAAAGUAAUUCCAAUUAAUUAUUUAACAUAAAAUGACAAAAAAUGAUAUUACUUGUUUAAUUAGUUGAAUUUGAAGAAAAAAAAAUAAUGAGUAUGAUUUUUAAAAAAUAAUUAAUUAAUCUUUGUGAAAUGCUAAGCGUUUCAUAAAAAGUUUGAUUAAUCUCUGAAAACUAUGUUACCGAACGUUAUAAUUAAUAGAAACAGAGUUAAUUUUGAUUUGGUCAAAAUGCUAAAAGUUAGUUUAAAAACUAGUGCUGAAUCAUGAUCCAUGAUCCAUCAUCGACAAAAGAUAUUUCUCUUUCUCUUAUAUUAUAAUACGAGCAAAAGAUUUUGAAUUUAAAUCAUCUCGAGUUUUUAUCAAUUUGAUGAGUUAAUAAAAAGAUUAUUUCUGUUUUGUAGUUAAUAAUAUUAUUUCGAGUUAUUUAGCCUCUUACUCAAUAAAAAAAAUUUGUAAUUUGGCUACUUAGUAUUUUCAAAAAAAAUCUAGCUACUUAAUUUAUGACAUAAAUAAAUUGAAAUUAAAUUGAAAUUGUAGUUUAUGACAAAAUUUUUAAAAAUACUUAAUUGAAAUUAAAUAUUCAAAUUUAAUUAUACGUGUCAUUUAUGACAGAGAGAUAUCGUACAACACAUGUAGUCAGUUGAAACUUCUUGUUUUUUUUUUUUUUAGCCCUUUUCUGAAAUAUCAAUGAGCCUCACAAGUACAAGCAGAACAAAUGAAAAUUGACCAAAACUUGUUUUCCUUGAUUUUUGCACAUCAUCUGUAAUUCAAAUAGAAACAUUUGAAGCAAAUCAAGCCAAUCUUAGUUAUAUAUAUGCAUGCUUGUCUCCAAAGAUCAUCCUUUUACAUUUCUUCAUGUACCUCCAUCUUCUUUUUCUUCAUCUGUGAUCACAUCUUCUUCUUCAACAUGUAUUCUUUUUCAGAAUUAACACGAAGAUAGAUAGAUAAUACAUUACAAGGACGUAAUACUUGCAGACUGCUAUGCUGUACUCUUUAAAUUUGAUCCCCAUUCAAAGGCUUCUGCAACUGCCCGUUGACGUUCAAGCAUAGCUUCUUCAUCAUCUGCUGCCGUUUCAGAUGACGGAGAAGGGAAAGACAUAUGAGAAACAGCUGCUUCUGGACCCGCUCCAAGAACAGUAAGAGCACUCACUACAUCGCUUAUCAAGGGGCGAACUGGAGCUUCUUCUUGUAGACACAUGGCUGCUACUGCUACUGCUUGAUUUAAGGCUCUAACUGGGUAAUCUCCACCAAGAACUGGGUCUGCAAGUUCUGGGUAUCUAUUUGGUUCCUUGAACAUUGGUUGUGCCUAUAUAUUUUAAAAGAAAAACCAAGAAUAUUUAACCAAAUGAUUUAACUUCUAAUAUAAAAUUAAUGAUGCAAGAAAAAGAAGGGAAAUUAAUAAUUAAAAAGGAUUGUAGUUACCCAGGUGACAAGAUUUUGCUCCUGAGUUGGUUUGGCGGUGUCAAUAACUCUUCUUCCAGUAAUCAACUCCAGUAAAACAACUCCAAAACUGUAAACAUCUGAUUUAACAGUUAACUGGCCAGUUCUCUGAUAUUCAGGGGCACAAUAACCAUAAGUUCCCAUAACUCUUGAAGAAACAUGACUCCUAUCCCCCACAGGGCCAAGCUUUGCCAGCCCAAAAUCAGACAAUUUUGCAUUAAAUUCUUCAUCCAGCAAAAUAUUUGCUGAUUUUAGAUCUCUAUAUAUCACAGGGGGAUUUGCUUUAUCAUGCAAAUAUUCUAACCCUUGAGCAGCACCUAAUGCUAUUUUCAUUCUUGUGAACCAAUCUAAUGGCUUUUGUCUUGGUGGAAGAUCUAAUAGAUGGUCUUCAAGAGAUCCUGCUGCCAUGUACUCGUAAACAAGAAGCCUUUGAUCUCCAUCAGCACAGUACCCAAUAAGACUUACGAGAUUCUGAUGGUGUAAGAGACUCAACAUUAACACUUCAACGAGGAAUUCUCUAUUUCCUUGCAAUCCAUUCCUGUCAAGUUGCUUCACAGCCACUAUCUGGUUGGUUUUCUCAAGCUUUCCCUUGUAAACUCUUCCAAACCCACCUUCUCCGAGUAGACAUUCCUGUCUGAAAUUCUUUGUAGCAGUUGCUAAUUCACGAAAAUUGAAGCUUUGUGCAGCGAUAUUGCCACCUUCUUUGUUGCCAUUGCUGUUAUUAUGAUUACUUGCGUUGUCCUUGGUUUUGUGAAGUUCAACUUGGGCCUUUGCUUUAGGAUUAUCUGUACAAUAAAUAAAUAGUUAGUAAAGCUAGUUUUGAUUGGAUUUAACACAAUGCAGGGAAGUAAAUGAGUUGCUCAAGGAUUAGCUCUAAAAAAAUUGUUUAAUAAGUUUAACAAGGAGCUUGCUUGUUAAGCCUGUUUAAUAAACGAGUCAAGCUCGAAUUUUAUAACUCAGAAUCAUAAGCCUGAGCUCGAAUAUACCUUUAACAAGCCCUACAACAGACCUCAAGAUAUUAGUAGAAAUACUUACCGGAAGGCUGUGAUGCAAUAUUGUUUUCUUUACGAGGAGAGAUAAGACGGUGAGACUCUGAUCUUUUGGUGCUAUUGGACCUUUUGGCUGCUUUCUUUUCUUGUGAUGAAAAGCAUGGAAAACAAGUCAUUUUUAAAGAUUGAAAUCAACUUUGUUUCUUCUUUCCAACAACCUUUCCUUCUUUUGUUCUUUUUUGAACAAAAGAAUUAAAAGAAAAUUUUAAAAUGGGUUAGAAGAAAAGGAUAUACUCAAUCAGGAAGAAAGAAACACAAGCCAAAGAAUACAAUUAAUUAACUUCCAAAGAAUGUGGAAUGCACGUAGCAGUUAAUUAAUUAAUUAAUUAAUUAUACAGUUGAAGACCAUAUAUGGUAACAAGUAAGAUUUGAUUGAAUACAAUUCAAGAAAUGAAUUCAAUCAAAUGAGCCAACCCUACAAAGAGGCCACAAUCAAGAAAACAAAAAGGAUGGGAAGAAAGGCUUAAUAAUCUUUCUUUAUAUGUGUUUAUAAUAAUCUUUCUUUAUAUGUGUUUUCUUUUUUUCCUCCCAGUAGUAAAAUCUUAACAUAGAAUUAUAACAUAUAUUUAAUGUUAAAUGGGUAUCAUGAUGAGGAAGAAGAAGAAGAAGAAGAGGAGGAUGAGGUUUUAGGGUGCAGCCUGGUUAACAAAAACACCAGGCUAAAUCAAAAACCUAAAAAUUAAAACUAAUGUCAAAGAUUUUAAAAAAAGAUUAGUACAGAAAUUAAUUGACUAAAAUAGGAAAAGAAAAUUGGGUAUGGAAUUUGUUUGAGGUUAGCGCAGAAAUUGGAGAUGAAAGUACUGAAUGAGAGGGGUUGAAGGCACUAUUCUUUGGUGGUAUAAUAACACAACCGUUAUGUUAAGCUGUGUUUUUGUUGUAUUAUGACAAGAAUAGAAAGCUGAAAACCAAAAAAAUUUCGACCUCUGAGAGAAUCUUUAUGUCUAUGAUCUUAGGAGAUUAAUUAGUUAAUGUGAUAAGCAAUCUCAAUUCCAAUAAUCAUAAUUAAUAAUAUUUAUUAUUAUUUGACAUGUCCUAGACUAAAUUUCUAUUAAAUUUACACCACAGAUGUUUUAAAAAAAUGAGGCUGGAUAUACCAACAAUACGUUUGCGGACCAAAAAGAGUUUCUGGAGUUCAUCGAGCUAUUUGUAUUAUUGUAUAUACAUUCUGUCUUAAAGGUUGAUAUCGUUUUUAAUAAUAAUAAAAAAAAGAUUGAUAUCUUUUUUAGGGUUCUAAAUUUUGCACUUACAUGCUUAUAUUAAAGAAAAAAUAACCCUAUAAUAAAAAAAUUAAAGGGAGUUAAGAAACAUACAACUGUACAUUAAUGGAUAAUACUCUGUUUAGACGAGUAAACAACUGUAUAGAUAUGUAUUAUCCGUACCAACGACAUGCAUCCCUCGACGUGCAGAGAAGCAGAAGCAGUAAAGUAAUAUAAAACAAUAACUCUCGAAUCCUAAUGCAUGCAUGCUUUUGUGAAGAUGAUUUGAGCAAUCUUUGAAACUUUUUCUAACUGGGCAAUCGAAAACUUAAUUAACCUCAAAGAAAGAAUUACUCAUAAAAUUAUUUUUGUUUAUAUAGUACAUUAAAAUAAAAAAUAAUAUAUUCACUGUAAAAUCUUAAAAAUAUAUAUAUAAAUCAUACUUCAUAAUAAAUACAUUAUUGAAAGGAACUGAAGAAGAAUUUUCUUCCAAAAAUACUUUACCCUUCUUAUUCUUUUUUAAAUACAACAAUAACAUUAACUAUAGUUACCCUUUUCUAUUCUGACAUUAACAAGGCUAAAAAGCAAAAAGAGCAAGUAUCUCAUAUAAUCAGGCACAUGAACACAAAUAAUUUCCUAUUGAAUAUCUAUUGAAGUGUAUAACCUGGAAAAGUCAUUAGAAACCCCGUCUAUCCAUUUCUAUUUUGGAUUAUCCAUCUUCGGAGGUCUGAUAUCGAAUCGAAAACAGGAUUGGCAAUGGAGGUGCAUUCAGCUUCUUACCUUCACUCUGGCUUCUUCUCCAAGAGCCAAAUGGCAAACACAUCAAAAUCAGUGUAGUUGUAAACUAGCGGUAAUUAUGUUUCAAGUGUUACAUUGACUUCGAUUGAGGAAUUGGUUAAGAUGAUAUCUUUUCCAUUAUCAGAUUUUGGGUGAUCAAGACAAUCCAACUUGAUCCUCACAUGUAAUGGUUUCAUAAGAAUGAGGUCCUUCAAAUCAGCAUUUGAUUUUAACAAGAGUUGAAUGCAUGAAUCUCUUCCAAUUCCUCCUCUUUUCUCCGGGUUCAGAAUAUCAGCUAUCCUUGCUGCAUCCUUCUUCUGACUGUCUUCUUGUAAAUCAGGGUUUCUUCUAAGUUUUAGAUAUAAUGCAGCAUAUAUAAUAACCUGUUAUAUGAAUAAAAUAAAACAAACAGAUAUUAGUACUAGUUUUGAACUGUGAGCCUGCUCAGAAAUCAGGUUGAAUCCACAUUCCAGUUACUGAUUGCAGCACUUCGAAACAAUCUUGCUUUUCUCACUAUUAUUUCUGUUCAAUAGAGAAGCGAGUCCACUGUAAAAGAUAACUCCCUAAUUAUGGGAUGAACUUCCCCUUUAUUAUUGCUAUUAUUUUCUUUCUAUUAUUAUUACCUAAAAGCACUUAUUUACACCCAAAUUAGGCAAGGUCCAACAGACACCUAAACAGAAAGAAAGAAGAAAUAAGCAUAAUAUCUAACAAGCAAAGAGUACAAAUAACACGCAUACCUCACUUGUUCCAGGACUUGUAUUGACAGAACAAUCAAUGUGAACUCUACAAUCUUCAGAUUUAAUUUCUGAAGUUGUGUUACUGCUUUCAACAAUCAUCUCUGGUUCAGGAGAUGAAAAGGCCAGAUUAUCCAAAUCAUCAUACCACUGUUGGGCAACACCAACCUGCAAAGAUGCACCCACAAAAUGGAGUAAUCAGGCACUAGGAAAAAAUUUAACUUACCAGACCAAAUGAAAAAUCAUCAGCAUCAAAAAGAAAGUGACAAGUGAAAAGGCAAAAAAAAAAAAAAAAAAAAAAAAAAAAAAAAAAAAAAAACUAUAAAUCCUUNNNNNNNNNNNNNNNNNNNNNNNNNNNNNNNNNNNNNNNNNNNNNNNNNNNNNNNNNNNNNNNNNNNNNNNNNNNNNNNNNNNNNNNNNNNNNNNNNNNNNNNNNNNNNNNNNNNNNNNNNNNNNNNNNNNNNNNNNNNNNNNNNNNNNNNNNNNNNNNNNNNNNNNNNNNNNNNNNNNNNNNNNNNNNNNNNNNNNNNNNNNNNNNNNNNNNNNNNNNNNNNNNNNNNNNNNNNNNNNNNNNNNNNNNNNNNNNNNNNNNNNNNNNNNNNNNNNNNNNNNNNNNNNNNNNNNNNNNNNNNNNNNNNNNNNNNNNNNNNNNNNNNNNNNNNNNNNNAGAAAAAAAAAAAAAAAAAAAAAAAAAAAAAAAAAAAAAAAGACUUGAAAACCUUCUCUGAGGACCCUGCUACAUCCUGUAUUCCUAAAAUUGCAGCCCCUCUUGCCUGGCGCCAUAUGCAUCCUUCUUGUAACGGUUCAACAAGCUCAAAAUCCACAGGGAUUUCUACAUUUAACUGUAUGUUAAUCCUACCUGUCAUAAACACACCAUCACUGAAAUUCAACAAGUAAUUUUUUGUAAAAUCACAUCUUACAUAAUCUCCAAUAAACUUGGGACAUGAAAAGUUAAUGUUGUUGGCAUACAAGCCCUUGUCUGCAACUGCAUUUGUGUGUGUGCGUGUGUAUCUUGUUCUCUCAAUUGGAAUGGGAGGAUAUAGAUUGCUGUAUGUACCAAAUUACAGAUUCGUUCAAGGACUAAAUGCAGCCCAAAAAUAUUAUUCUAAGAAAAAGGCAACUAGUUCACCAGGAAGUAUAGUCUUACAACAAAUCAGAAACUCGUUUCAGUAUUUGAUGUGCAGAAAUUUGCAAUAAUGAAAGGUAAAAUAACUAAGGGAAAAAUAUAAUUGGAUUACCAAUAAAUUCGAUUUUCAUUGACAUUAUGAUAAAUAUCUUGCAGGAAAUAAAAUUGAACCUUUCAAGCAAUUAGCUUUCCUAAUACUAUUGAUAUUGUUGGAAAAGUUCCCGUGUUAUCCAUAAAUUUGAUGAUUCUUACAUGCAAUGCAAAUUCAACAAAACUUCAAUAGAGACUUAACAAGGUGUGUAAACAUAUGCAUGCAGGUUAAGGUUUUUACUCAGGAUGAUAUUUUCAUUAAAAGUCAAUCUACCAUGUAACCUUGGAUCUUCAUCAUCAAGCUCAUAAGAGAAAUAUUGUGUUUGAGAAAGCAUAAAUAAAAUUUCCAUUAUAAAGAUAAAAAAACAGAACUCAGUCCAACGCAUUUCCCUAGACUUUUAGGUUAACAACUGAAGUUUGUUACGGCAAAAUAUAGCAAUAAAAUGUCUUUUCACACCAGAAAUACAGAAACCAACUACUGUCAACAAUAAUAUACCUGGCAGCAUGCUAAAACGUUGGACAUGAUCAGGACAUCCUCUACGGGGUGAAACCCUAUCAAACCAGAGAAAAUUUAUCAAAAGCAGUAGGAGAGGUUCACUGUGAAACAAUUUUACAUGCAAAUGCCAUAUGCCAGGGGAAAAAAGGAGAGAGAAAGGAAAAGCAUUCACAUGAUACACCUACAUUGUUUGAAAGGAAAUAAGUUUGGAGAAAGUCACCCUCCCAAAGUAAUUCAGAAGCUUGCACAAAACUCAGUUUUAAAGAGUAUACUGACUUACUCAGGAUAAACAUUCUCCAAUCGAAACGAUGGCCAAUAUGGAAAUCCAAGGAUCCCAAAAUUUGAAAACUGGAAGAUUGAAUGGACUCUGGAAUCGCUAUUUAGUUUCAGCACUCUCUGUGCAACUUCAAUGAAAUGUUGCAAUAUAAAUGUGUAAUAACCCAAAAAAACAAUAGAUAAACAUAAGAAAACAGAUUAAUGUGUUAAGUACCUGUGUCACAGACAACUAUGUAAUUUUCAAAAGUUGUUAUAGAUGAUAAAAGACUAGCAAACGGAAGACCCUCUGGAGAAAAAUUGGCAUCAAUCUGCAGUUUUAGCCAAUCACUUGGCAUUUGUUUCAAGAGUGAUACUUUCUCCAUGAUCAACUGCCCACAAGUCUCCAAAAUCUUUGAAAAUCCUUUCCAAUAUUUAAAUGAGCAAAUAUCAGAUGUACAUAUUGACUGACAAAUCAAUAGAGCUAAGAAAGAUAUGGUAAACUAAUUUCAAACCUUUGAUAGAUUCUUUUAUUUCUCCUGAAGCCAUAUCCAUGAUCCACAGGGUUUCAAAGCUGCAAACGAAAACAAAUAAACCUUGUAUCAUAGGUUCCUAAAUGAAACCAGGAAAGAUUAAAUAUGAAGGUCACAAGUAGGAGGCCUUAAUAAUUGGACUUAGUUAAAUGGAGAUGAAUUAAUAUAAAAGCAUUAUUUGCAGAAGGCAACCUACAGUAAGGACAGCUGGCCUUGGCUAAUUGAAGGACUUGAAGAAUUAGGAUGGUCUUUGUCAAACAAAACUAAACUUUUCAUGUAUGAUCAAGAGGCAAUGUCAUUCCUCAUUUCUAAAAAGCAUCCGAUGUCAGUGUACUCUUUGAAGACAUUGAUAUUUCACUACAAAGAAUUAGCUUUAUUUUGGUUAUUGGUUGCAAUAAUCUUUAGAUCAAGUUAACUUGAAAGAUUUAUUACUCAAAAUUCACACUGUUGUUGUAACCUAAAAUGAAAUGAUGUAAACAUAGGAAUUUCAAGCAUAUUAACAAUUGUCAUUGAAUAUUAUAGAUUGCAAUGCUUUACUACUGUAUAAAAACGGAAAUAGCAAGCAUAGUGCCUUCUUAUCAUAAAAAAUUAGAAACAAGGAAUCAUCCUUUACCUGCGGUUGAUGAUAAAGAAACUAUCAUCUGCUGACUUCAAAAGAUGCCAUGGAAACACCCGCAAUUGGGAAUCAAAUUCUUUGGAGUUUGAAUCAAUGUUGCUUGAAAAACCCAUUUUAUUCAUAAUCCAAGUCCAUAUACUACUAUCUUUUUUACUGACGCUACAAGUGGGAUAAAGAGUCUCUAAGACCCGCCUCUCCAUAUCAGCUCGUCUGAUGGCUUGGUUCUUAGGAAUAGCAAUCAAUAAAGGAAAAUAAUAAGUCACAAAACAAUGUUGAAGUAGAAAGAUUAAAUGCCAAGUACUUCUUUGAAGAGGAUGCCCACAAAAUAAAAGCAAAUUCAAAUUUGUUUUUAAAGCAAUUGCUUCAUCUGCAACAAAUCAGUGACAUUAAUAUCAGAGAAAUUUAAGGUCCAUAAGCAUUAGUGGAGAGAAGUAAUAUAACUGUAACUCGCACUAUUCCCAUUAUUAUUCUAUUGAAAUCAUCACUUAUGAAGAUAGCUGGUUCAGCAGAUUAAUUCAAAAGUUUCAUCAUACUAAUUGCUAUAGACUUUGAUCUAAGAAUGUUCAGCAAAACACUUGACAGUAUCCGAAUUGAAACAUCAAAUCUAAGAAACCCAUAAAUUUCAUAAUGUUGUAAAUCACCCAUUCAAAAGCUUCUGGAUGAAUACCUCUGAAUCUACAAUGUACAGACAAUCUUCAGCAUCAUGAUAAAAGGAAGCUGCAGGACGCAGUAGCUUGGCAGACUCAAAUUCACCAUCUUCAAAACCUGGGCAAGAACCAAUCUGACAUAUAAAAAACGUAAGUCUAAAUCUACGCUUUCAUUUCAUCUUAUAUGCUCAUCUUUUAGCGUUGCAAUUGCAUGCACUUAAUAAGGAUAAUAAAAAAGCAAAGCAAAUAGGUCAUAUGAGAAAAUCAUAGAAAAUUCAAUGAGUGAUAGCCAUUGAAGCCUUAAAAUACAUACACAGUCCAUAAUCUUCCCAUUUCUAUCAAAUAUGAUAAUCCGAUGAUGAUUGCUGUCAGAUACAAAUAGGCGAUCACCACUUUCAUCUGCAGAGAUGCAACCUGUGGAAGAAAACAGAUGGCUAUACAAUAUUGGAUUACUUUAGCACACAACAUAAAGUCAAAUAAAUUACAUAUGAGCUGAUCACAGUGGUGGGACUAAUUAUUAAACCUAUAACAUCUUGUAAAUAGUUAUUCAGUUAGGUUUUUGAUGACAAAAUUUUUAAGCAUUUGACUUAAAAGGCUUGGUGCAGCUCUCUUCUCUCAAUCUUUCUUUCAUCUGCUGGAUUUUAAGAUAUCAUGCAUCAGAUGAAAGAAGCAGCAGUAGCAAGUUAGCAACUGAAUUGCAUGAUACCCUAAAAAAGAGAUACAACUACAAGGUAAGACAACAACAGGCCAUGCAAAAGAAGCCUCUACCUGGAAAGUAGAGGAGUAAGUUUUGCAGAGAAGAGGACAACUCUGGUUCCUUAAUGACCUCAGCUUGCUUCACCCAAGUUCUUUUCAAGUUGCGACUGAGAUUCCCAUUCUGUUGAACUUGUAACUCCUCAAUGCCUGCAAAGGCAUCAAGUGAGAAAUUAAACAUAUAUAUAUAUAUGCAAGUAUGUGUAAGUGUGUUUGCAUAAAAAUUGUGCAUAUGAUGUUUACAUGCAGACCUAUAGAUACCAAAGUUCAUCAAGUUGUAGUCAGAUCCAAACAAAAUUCAUAGAAAAAGCAUUCAAACCAAACACAUAAAAAGAUAAUAAUGAACAAAGAAGAGGAAAAUGGUUAGACAAUUGAUAAUAACAUUGAAAAGGAAAGACAGUGAAUAGAUAUUCCGCUUAAACUCCAAUCCGAGUCACAGGGAAUGGAAUGGAGAGGAAAAGACAAAGAUUCUGGCACGACAUAAAAAGUACAGAAAAAAGAGGUGGAGCAGCUAGCUCAACUUAGACUUAACAUUUACUUUCAAGCUUCCUAUUAUUUUAUGCUACAUCCACAACUGCUUACAAACUUAUCCAAAUUCAACAUAUUAAGCUUCAAAAGUUCUUUACCUUAAUAAAAAUGAACCAAAAAUACAGCCUGCGAGAAAUAAAACCUUGAGCUAAUAACUUGAAGAACACUCAAUUGAUCCUUGCAGCAAAUUAAUUCUUAAAUACAAGAACUCAAAAUACUUGCUUGGCAGGUAAUUUGCAUAAUCUCAAGUUCUUUGAAUUGUAAGAUGGUGAUAGGCAAAGCAUUAAGGUUAGUUGAAAUGCGGAAUUCACAUAAGAAACGUUCCAUGUAUGAUAAAAAUUCCUCACCUGUAAGCAUAAAAAUAUGAUGUUGCACAAGAGAAUUCUUUCCAUGUCAGGUAGAAAAAACACAAGCACAUACCUUUACUAACCAUUCCAAGAUCCAAAUCCUUCUCAUGAUAAAUAACAGGAUUCAUAAAAUCUCUAAACAAAAUGCAGCAUGCCUUGUUUUCCAUCUAAAUACAUGAAGAAGCAAUGAGUUAGCCAUACCACAAACAAUUGUGAAAAUUUAAGAAACAGUAAUAUCAACAAAAAAACUCAACUAGCAAUUUUCAAAUAAAUUAAUAAAUAAACAAACAAAUGAAGGCUUACGAAAUAAUUGCAAUUGAAAAUAGGAAAGGUAACCACGUGUAUGAAUCCAAAAUACUUUUGACUUAUCUUACAUAUGCCACAUGCAUAAUGAAAUGAGUCGAUUAUAUGAAUCCUUUCAUGCAAUUCCUCUCUAUUUAAAGUAAAGUUUACUUUUAAUCAGUAAAUAUUUACAUACCUUUGAGAAAUUUCUUAUUUGUCAACAUGAUAACCACAAACACCUUCCAAUUAGCCAUUUAUCAUGUGCAUUACACAUGUUGCUUUUAUGAUAAGCACACAUAUAUUUAUGCAUUCAAUUUUCUCACAAAAUUGAUAUACUUGUACAAUCCAAAUACAGGAAAUUUAAAUUCAUCCCCCAGCAUAAUUUUUAAUCAUUAAUUUAUUAAAAUUAAAUGUAGGUAUUGCAGGAAAAAUCUACAGCACUUGAUAUUAAAUUUACUAAAGCAUAUUUUUUGUAUAUGUAUUCUUGUUUGUCAUCUUGAAAAAGUAUAAAUAUAAGAUAGCGAAAAAAAAUAAAUGAAAAAUGAAAAAAAAAAAAAGCACAAACGCACUAUGUAUAUUGGGGAUUAUGAAUAUACACCUCUAAAAAGUUCUUGCUUGACAAUAAGAUGGGAAAUGUAAUGUACUCCUUCAUUAUCAAUUCAACAAGGUUAGCUUGAUCAGCAGCAGAGCCAAUCGAAGCUCCACAAUGCAAACCCAUAAUGCAAAGCUGUGGAUAUCUAACAUGGCAAAAAAUAAAAUAACGUCCUCAGAGUGAAUCAUCUGGCAAACCAGACUCAUCGAAUAAAAAAAUUACAAAAAAAAUAUCACAUAUUUGGCAUUUUCUUACUUCUGAUGAAGUGACUUGAUUUUUUCAAGAAUACCAGCUAUUGCAGAAUUCCCAAGGAACUGUCCAGCAAGGACCAAAAAGGUUCCAUCUUUCUUGAAAUAACCGUUAUCUCCUUCGACCUUAUUUAACCAGCAAUGAUCGGGGCCUAUACAAGUCAUUUAAAAAAUUCAAUAAGAAUCCAUUUAAAUUGCUGCUAGAAUAUGCAAUUUAUACUUGUCUACUACUCUCCAAUUUGAUUUUUCCUCUGGCUUAGAAAAAAUAUAAAACAUAUUUAAAAAGUCUAGUAUAAAGAAUAACUAGUUUUAAAAAAAGAAAAAACCUUGAAUCUUAUCAAAUGUGGAUUGGAUGAAGAACAAUAUAUCAUCCACUGGAGAAGGAGUAGACUCAUUUGACACUUGUGACAUUGUUGGGUACCUGAAAGUAACUGCCAUUGAUAAGUUAGGAACUGCCCAGAAAAAGGGGGGGAAAACCUAACUGAAUUCAAAAGGCAUUAAAGAAAAAAUAAGACACAACAGAUUACCUUUGCGAAUGAAAUGCUUUGUCUAUAAUCCCCAUGUAACUGAGUUUAGUAUCAAGUGAGUAAGGCACAGGGAUUAAAGAGCAAGCUGAAAAGAAGUUAACGGCUUCUCUAGAUUGCAGUAAGUAAUUACCUACAAAAGAAAACAACGAAAAUUAUGCAGAAUAUUUAGAAACUACGAUGAAGGCUGAUAAUCGAUUGCAAAAUUAAAAAAAAAAAAGAAAAAGAAUAGAAUAAAUAAAAUUUUUGAGACUGACCUGAGAAAAUGCGAGGCAACCGCCAUGAAAUUUGUUUCAAGCGCCGAUGUCUGAGAAACAUUUUCUAGGAAAAUUUCUGUUUAGUUGGAGUUAGACGAAAAUGGGUAUAAGCAUAGGCGGGAUAUUUUCUUUUCCCGUGUAGGGUUUAAGCCGCCGGGUUCCUGAAUCAAACGGCGUGUUUCACUGUCCGGGUUUGCUACCAGCAAAAUUUGAUCUAACCGUAGGAUUAUAAAUGACGGAAGAGGUUGGAUUCGAUAAAUCCUUCACUCCAAUUUAUUCAUUAAACUUAUCGAAAUUAACUACUGUUAAACUCGUUUAAUAAAUAAAUCAAGUUGAAAAUUAAUUUAUUAUCUCACUGACCAAUUUUAUAAAUCAAAGUUAAUUAAACCUAUAAAAAAACAAUCUUUUAUUUAGGAUUUUCAAUUUUGACAAGUCGAGCUCAAAUCGAUUAAAACUCGACUCGAUUUAACUUGUUUACAACUCUAGUCUGUAGUUGGACAUUGGAUUGGGUCGAUCGGUCCGCCUCUCGAUGUGCACUUGUAGUCUCAUCCGUUGUGCGGGCUGUGGCUUAACUUGGUGUGACGAUGAUUCUCUAUCUCAGCCAAUUGAGUUCCAAAUAUCUGGUAUAAAAAAAUAUAAAAAAAGCAAAGAGCUUUUCACAAUUUUUUUAUUAUACAAGCAAAGAUUUACCUCCAUGAAAAGGAUGAUUCAUUCGAAUCAACAUGAGAGUCCAACUGCAUUGUAUUGCUAUAAUCUAUUUUGUAUAUUUGAAAUAGGUUGACCUCCUUACUUCUCUCAUGGUACAAUCCUUUUAUCGCUGAGCCCAUUUCUCCUCGGUCCAUAAAGACAAAAUAAAAUGUAAAAUGUAGAACUGAUGACAACAGUUCAUCACGGAAGAAAGAACUCAUUGAGCCGUCAUCGUUCAUCGGGUUCACUGCGGCUUAGUGAACGUUAACGGGGCUCAAAUGAGUGUGAACAUGCCAAAUCGAUGGACCCCAACAAAUACGCAUUUUUCACCGGCGCUUCAUGGUGCAGGUUGUGGCUGCCUCGUUUAGAUUAAUAUUAAAAGAUGACCAUUUGAAAUUAUAUUAAAUCACAUUUUUGUCAAUAUAUACAAGUAUUUAGCCUUUCAAAAUACUUUAAAAAAUAUUUAACUCUUGAAAAUUGAAAUUAUAUUUUCAUUGAAAAACUAAAUAAUAUAAUAAAAUUAAAUUUUAUAAAUUAAAAAGUGGAAAAAAAGAGACAAAAUUAUGAUGAUGAUAAAUUUUGAAAAACUACAUAAUUAUUUACUCAAAUAUUACUCCCUCCAUCGUUUGCUUGUUAUUUUUUUUAUGUUUCAAAAUAUUUGUAAGGUUUCUAAAUUUAGAGAAUGUAAAUAAUUAUUUUUUCUAUAAUAACAUUUAUGAUUGUUCAUUAAAUAAAUGACUUUUAUUACUAUCUUAACGAGUGAAUAGUAAAAAAAGACAAAAUAACUUUUAUUGACUAAAUUCUUAAUAUGCGUAUUUUGUCAAACCAUACAAACAAAAUCAGACGGAAAUAUAAUGUUAUAAUAUUUUUAUAGCGUUACAUUGGCUUAUAAAAAUCUGAAAAAAAAAAAAGGAAUUAGAAUUAAAUUAAUGGAUUAGAUUUAACACCAAAUGAGUUUUUUUUUUUUUUUUUGCCCUUUUCAAUUAUAGAUAUUUAUUUAUUACUAUUGCUGAUUUCAUUGGGCCCAAAUGGGUCUACGACCCACUUCUUCUAAGAGAGCCACGAACAAGAAAACCAAUCUGGCCCAAUCUAUGGAGCAUCAUAUUAAUUGUCGUAAUACGGUCUCUAAAUUAUCUAGAAUGUACCUCUUUCUGUGGUGACUUGCUUCUUUGUACGUGAUGGAGACCGGAAUUGUAAUCUGAUUCUUUUUCUUCAUGUAUAAAACUUUCUAUAUAAGAGGGUUCAUUAUUCGUUUUUCACAAAAUUAAAUUACGAUACAUCCGUGAUGCUUCAUUUAUCUUCUGUGCCGAUUAUUUUAUAAUUCGUCUUGACAAUCUGAAUAAUAUUCGAUUGCAGUGAAGGAAGUUCAUCUGUUACAUUAAUGAAGGGGAUGUCAUUAAUUUUCAUCUUGGCUAUAUAAGUAAACAAAGAAUUAAAAUUAGUUAGUGCUAAAAAGCCAUAAUUAUGUUUUCAAGUUCUAGGCUUGUUAAAAAUAUUUGAAUUUAAAAGCAUAUUGUACGGUAGCCUAAAAAUAAAAAGAAAGAUCAAUGAUGAAUUUACACUGUAACUAUGAACUAGGCUAUAUAAUCAUUAUAUGACUCUUAUUUGGAUUUACUUAACCUACACUACUUUAUUGUCUAUCGUUAUCCAAAUUAUACACACUAAUGCUUUUGCUUUAUUGAUUAGACAACAACACAAACACACACUAAAUGCAGGAAAUUUGAUGAAUCCCUAUGUUUUAUAAAUACGAAAACGGAAAAAAAUGUGAAAACUUUAAUGUUAAUGGAAACUGAUAUAAAAAAUGACAUUUAAAAUAUAAUUUUAUAUAAAAAAUAAUAUUUUAUGUAGAAAAAUAGACACACAAAAACAUUUUUGAAACACGAAAAUGCCUGUGGUUAAAAGUUUACGUGCAUCAUAAAUAAAACCAUAUUAUUAGUUGGUGUGCUCCAGCAAAGACAUUGACAUGACUUAGCAUAGAUAGGAGAUAAUACCCAUUUAAUUAUUUCAAAACCUCCUCUAUAUAUAUGUCUUAUAGGUAACUGCUUCAUAGCUUUGCUCACCUCUUAUUGCUUCCAUUAUUCAAUACAUAGCUGGAUGUAAAUUAAACCCUUAAGGCUAUAGCUAUAUACAUCAGGAUUUUAGGUUCUCAUGGUAAUUGAGUACUCUUAGUUGUUGUUGUUUCAAUUCUUUCCUAUAUAUGCGCUCUAGCUAGCAAGCAUCGCAUCUUCCUUCUCCCAUAUGAUAUCCUAACUUUUAUUUCUUUUUUCAUGUUCAACAGAAAAAGUAUGGUUAGUGAAGUUAUGUAUUUAUAGAGAAUACAAAUUCUUUUCCCACAAAUGUGAGUUGGUUCGAGCGAAAGGGGCUCGGUCACAUUAGGCAAGCGAAAGAUUCGAUCCAGAUCAUAUGUAUAGAGAAAAUUCACUUGCAAAAGGUUCAUGCUUUAAUGUAUAACAAUAUCUUGAGGAAAUUAGUCAUCACUUUUCCGGCGGCGGAUAUUCUGAAGCAAUUUUGAAAAAAAAAAAAAAAAAAUCAUGUUUCCAAGCUUGAGUUGGGAGGUGCAUUUUUUCAUGGUUUAUGCUCACAUUUGAAAAAAAAAAGAUGUAAAAGGGUUGCAAAUUCAAAAUAAGCAAAAAGAAGGGUUUAAACCAAAUAUACUUCUCCAAUUAUGACAUAUGACACAAUUUUGGAUAAAUUGAUUGAAACUGCCAAGCAUAUUCUCUCUUUCUCUGUUUUCAAGUUUUUGGUAGGCAUUUUUGCUGCCGUACACUACUAUUGUCAUGCGACAACUAAGAGAAUAAAAAAAUAUCAUGCACCUUAUCCCUCGAAAAUAUAUAUAUUGAAUUAAUUGAAUUAAAUCAGUUCUAUUCGGUUUAUUUUUAAUUUUGAUUCAUUUUAGCUUUCUUUCAAUUUCUUUUCUUAUUUUUAGAUUUUUUUUAUUUAGAAAAUCGAACUAAACCAAAAGGAAAAAUUCAAUUUUUUUCCUAUUAAAAUUAAAAAAACCAAAUAUUUAAAAAAUAAUCGAGAUGAGUCAGUUCAGUAUAAUUUGUUAUUUACUUUAUUGAUCAAAAUUCAACUAUAAAGAAAGCAUCUUUUUCCUGUCUCGAAGAGAACUGGAUUCUUUAAUUUCAGGGUAAAAACUGGUCGGAAUGUUAAAGCUGGUGAUUCCUGAUAUAGUACAACAGGCAUUCAUUCAAACUUGAAAAACUCUUUUCUUUUAAAAUAUAAUACACUUAAUUAUAUUAUAAAUAAAUUAUUAUAUUUGGUCAAAAAUCACCCAUUAAACGCAAUUAUAUGCAAGAAUUCCACUUUUUAGCACCAUAAUUUGCGGUUGAAAAUGGAAAAAAAAGCCUUACGUCUCUCAAAUCUCUGGAUAAAAUAACCUGACAAAUUGAAGUCAAAAGGUUAUGGCUUCACUGCACCAACAAAAAAGAAAAAAAAAAUUAUAUAAAUAAAUUUUCUUUCUUCUUUUGAAAAAGGAAACACCAUCAUAAACAUAUGAUUGGUGGCAAGCAACCUUAUAUUAUUAUUACAAAAUCAUGGGCUGUGAUGGGUUGUAUUAUAUUUGGCAUCUCAGCUUUUCUUGGAUGAUGUGUUUGAGAAGACAAAAGAAAAGUCCAAAUAAAAGUUCAAAAAGAAAUUCCAUAAUAAUAUAAUUUCUCGCAGGCAAAACAAAAUCACCUGAGUCUCUUCUUUUUACUCGCUUGCUCAUUGUGUUACAGAUCUGACACUGCUGUGUCUCUAACAGAUUCUGUAAUUUCUUCUUUCUUUAUCUGCCUUUACUUUGCCUCGUCACCUUUGAGAGCCUAUUCCAAUGAAAAUUUUAUAGGAAACCCAUGCAACUACCCCUUCUCUUCUUUUCUUUCUUUCCUUUUUUUUUUUUUUCUGAAUUUUCAAAUAUUUUUAUUAUGAUAUAUAUAUAUAUAUAUAUUAAAAAAGCAAGCUAUUUAACCCUUCAAGGAGAAUAUUUCUAUUAACAGUUUCUGAAGUUUCAAUUCAAAGAUCUUAGAAAAUUCAACUUCAGAAUUGAAACACCCUUCAAGAAAGAAGAACAAAAAUUCAAAAAGGACUCUCUAAAUUUCAAGAUUUUGGCACCGACUAGCAUUAUUAUGUAUAUGCAAACCAAAUCAAAAUACGGCUGGCCGUUUAAGGUUAAUCUAUUAUUUCUUCAAAUACCAACAAUAUAUAACCAUACCAUCACCAUGCAUCUAUCUAUAUAUAUUAAAAAUAAAUAAAUACAUAUAUAACAACUAUAUCAAAAUAGAAUGUCUCUCUUGCUAUACAUUUCUAGUAAGAAAAAGGAACCCUUUCUUCCCCACCUUAAUACAAAAACAAGAAAAAAAAUAACAAAAAAAAAAAAAAAAAAAAGUGAUUAAGGCUAUAAGGAUAUUGAUGAUGAUGACAUAACAGCAAACUUAACAAACUCUCACUUAGGACAAAGUAGUAUUAAUUGAUAUAAACUAAAACUAUAUAACGAUAAUAAACAGGACAAAUUUUGUAAUAAAUUCACCGUUACAAUUCCUCUUCCCGUCGUCUUCUUCAAUAAUAUUUCUGGUGCAGCCUUAAAUUCUCCAUUUUUUUCCAUGAAACGUAAUUAUUAUAAUUAUGACGAAUUACCUGUUUGAUAUAGGGUUUGGUCCACUAGGAACUUCAUGAGCCUCUGCGCCGAAGUUGAAGUUCUUCGAUUUUGAUGGAAACGAAGAAGAUGCACGUGGCUUUUGCGUUUGAGUCACGUGCAAAUUGUUCAUGGUAGUAGUAGAAGCAGCAGCAGUAGCAGAGGUUGAUGAUGAUUCUGAGUUUUCUUGCUGCAAGAGAAGUCUUUUAAUGGAAAUUGGUGAGGAAGAAGAUGGGUUUAAGGGCUUGAUAGGGUUAGUAACGAGAAGAAAAAGAGAAAUAAAGAAAAUUAGGGUAAAGAAGAGAAGGAAAUGUGAUGUUCUAAUGGUAGUUGUUUGAGGAAUUGUUGGUGUUGCCAUGCAAAUAGAAAAAAGAAACCACCCCCCAAGAGCCCACAAGGGUUCAAUAUCCAUUAACCAGCUGAUAGCUCCAAGGCUAAUUAGAAGAGAGAAAGAGAGAGAAAGGAAGAGAAGCUUCAGCAAAAGUGAUUGGAAAGGAGGUUUGAAAUUCGAUACACAUUUGAAGAACAAAAGAACCAACUUAGAAUACAAGUAUAUAUAUCAAAUGUGCUCCAAUGUCUUUGUUCAUUUACCAACUUGCCCUUUUGAUAUACAUAGGAUAUCAAAUUCUUUGUAUUUAGUUUAUAGCCCUAGCUAGGUUUAGAAGGAAUUAAUAGUGAUUAUUUGUUUAAGAUCACUUAUAAGGGUUAAUUCAAUUGUUCCUCUUUUAUCGAUUUAGCCUGACGAGUGUACCUUAAUUUUAUGGAUAUAACCCUUAAUCUUUUUUUCUUGGAAAAUUUUAUUGGAUAAUAAUAAAAUACAAUUUAUUGAAGAAGGGUGUUAUAGUAAUAUUUGAGGAGAAACACUAAUGCAUGAUAUAGGGAUGGGGCCAAAUUGCAAAUGAAAUAGCAAUAAAGAAUCUUGAAAGGUAAAGACAAUGGCACCAAAUAGAAAGAAAGAGAAGUGAGGUGGUGGCCUUUUCAUGCUUGGCUGGCUCCCCAAGAAAUCUUUCUUUGACUUGUUGAGCCCUAAGUAAGGAAAAAAAAUAUUAUUAUCAUCUUAUUCUUUUUUUUUUUUUUUUUUUUUUACCAAGAAUUGUGAAGCAAUUAAUUUCUCCAAAGUUAAAAAAAAAAAAAAAUGUGAAUUGGGCUCCACACCCCCUUUUUGGCGCGUGCAUUAACUCUCAAAUCAUAAAUAUUUAAUAAGAUAUUGUCUAUAAAUUGAUCUUGUGUAAAUUUGAUAGAACUUGAUUUGGAGAUGUGCAUAGGGCAAUUAUAUAUGUGGCUUCUUGAUUUGAUAGAACUCGCAAGGGACAUUUGCAGAAGGAAUUCAAUUAUUGCGAAAUAAUAAUAUCUGCAUGAAUUGAUAUUACAACACUAUACUGUGUUUUUUUUUUUUUUUUUUUCAUUUUUUUGAAAAUAAAACCUGACCCAGAUUAACUCCUCUCAUUUUGUCACUUUAAUGCUGGAUGGAUGGAUGGAUGGAUGGAGGAGUAAUUAUAUAUUUAAUCUUGCAGGAUGGAUAUAUGAAUAUUAGAAAAUUUACUUCAUCUCAGGAGCAUUAAAUUCAAGAAAUUAAGAAUAGAAAUAGUAUAUAUUAUUAUUUUUGAUAACUACUACAGGAUUUACAAGAUUUAAUAAUCUAGUAAUAAAAGAUAAUUAAAGAACAAUAUAUCAUGAAGAAGAUGUUGAAAGAAAGUGACAAGAAAAGAAGGUGGGUCUAAGUGAAAUGAAAAAGCAUAUGUAUAUAUAGUAAAUGUUUUAUGGGAAAAAAAAAAAAAAAAAAAAGAGAAAAGACAUAAGAAAAGCAAAGGAUCGUAUUCUCUUUUAAAAUAUAAACACACUGUUGCUUCUCUCAUAGUGAAAGGCCAAAUUAAACAUGUAAAUGUGUCUCCCAUGAUGGGUAAUGCAUGGGUCAGAGUCCCCACUGUACCUCGGUAAUAUAUCAUAUAAUAUACAUACAUUUUUUAGGACAGGAAGAUGGUACGUUAAGGCCAAUAUUGUAAUUUCCAACUUCACAAAUUACUAACAAGGGGUUCACGAUUGGUUGAAGUGAUCAGCAACUUCAAUUCCCCUAAGAGUAAAAAUAUAAAUUUGAUUUUUUAAAAAUGCACUUUACCAGGAGAGAAAAAAAAAAAAAAAUUUGUGUGCAGGAUAUAGCCGUGCACAAGAAGGAGAGGGACAAGUUGGACGAAGGUGAUAUGGUCCAAAAAGAAAAUUUUGGUUCAUUGUAUGUAUUGACUUCCAGCUUAUAGUAAUGCAUGCUUAUAAUUGGAGUGUGGCCAUGAAAAAUAAUGUAAGAGAUAAUAGUGCAACUGGUCGGGCAUGAGUUUGUAAACUGUCAAAAUUUCAAAAGUUGGAGGAGUUUCAUGUAAAGUUUAUUAUUAUUUUUUUUUACAUAAUUUAUAUAUAGGCUCAUAAUUUGAUUUAUUAACAAAUCUAAAAUUAGAGUAUAUACAAUUGAGACGAAAUUAAAUUUUAAAAAGUGAUGUUUAAAGUGAGUUUUUUAGAGUUGAUACUGUUGAGUUCUAUGUACCGAGUUAAUUCGCUCUAAUGAAUUUAAAACAGGAGGUCAAAUGUAUAAAUUCAUUUAUAUAUAUAUAUAUAUAUAUACACAUUAAAGAUUUUGUGACUUCAAUGUGGUUAAGGUAGUUAUUAUAGGGGUAUCAAGCCAUUUUUUCCCCUCAAGUAAAACCAAGUUUGACUCUCACUUUGUAUGUUUAUCUUUAAAAUAGAAAAAACAUUAUGCUUUACAGGCAUUGGUAGUGAUAUGGUUAAUUCGAAAAAAUUAAUUAUUUUGAUAGCCGUUAAUUGUUUUAAUAGCGUUUAGCUGUAUGAAUAGCUAGUGGUUGUUUGAACAAUUUUUCACAUGCUAAAAGUUAAAUGUUAUAGAGAUUAACUUUUUAUGAAACGUUACAUUAACCUGUAAAAACUAAUUCAAACGCAUUACUAAACACUAUAAACAAUAACACGUAGCGUUUUGACAAAAGCUACUUAACCUGUUAUCCGACAUGGUCAUAGUCUAGUAAAAGUGUUUGGUGGUGGUCUCAAUGGCUGUAAUGAUAGCAUGUUAUCAGGAUACUAAAUCUAUGAAAAUUAAUUGGGUUUUAUCGAGUCAAACAAGAUUUUCCUCUAGCCAUGUAUUAUUAUCUUCUGAGCUUCUAAUAAAGGGAAUAGUAUGCUAAAAGAAAAUUUCUCUUAAUUUUUGGAAUUUGAGAAAAAUCUUUGUCUAAAAGCGUUGGAAUUUGAGAAAUGCAUACCCAUCAUGUGAAAAAAAGUAGUAGCAAAAAUAACCACAUACAUACCUGUAAAGAAGCAUGUUUUAAUUGAAAUGACUAAAAGCUACUUAGCUACUAUAAUGAGGCUCCAACCAUUGCCUCCAUUGAUUAGACCUCGUUGAAGCAAGCUUCCUACCUACUCUUGUCAAACCAAAACCAAAAAUAAUUGGGUUUUUUUCACUUGUCAAGAAAUGUAAAGGGCAGACAUGGAAAAUCUAAUUUGCUUUAUUUGUAGAAAAAGAAAGUGAAUGAUAUAUUUGUUUGGUUGGAGAGAAAAAGCAAUUUCAUCAUGUUCCUACCAAAAUAGUUGAUUAAGUAACUAGAUUACAAGUAUAUUAGCAUCACAUUAUUAAAUAAAAUAAACAACAAAACAUGGCAAUGUGACUUCAAUGUGGUUAAGGUAGUUAUUAUAGGGGUAUCAAGCCAUUUUUUCCCCUCAAGUAAAACCAAGUUUGACUCUCACUUUGUAUGUUUAUCUUUAAAAUAGAAAAAACAUUAUGCUUUACAGGCAUUGGUAGUGAUAUGGUUAAUUCGAAAAAAUUAAUUAUUUUGAUAGCCGUUAAUUGUUUUAAUAGCGUUUAGCUGUAUGAAUAGCUAGUGGUUGUUUGAACAAUUUUUCACAUGCUAAAAGUUAAAUGUUAUAGAGAUUAACUUUUUAUGAAACGUUACAUUAACCUGUAAAAACUAAUUCAAACGCAUUACUAAACACUAUAAACAAUAACACGUAGCGUUUUGACAAAAGCUACUUAACCUGUUAUCCGACAUGGUCAUAGUCUAGUAAAAGUGUUUGGUGGUGGUCUCAAUGGCUGUAAUGAUAGCAUGUUAUCAGGAUACUAAAUCUAUGAAAAUUAAUUGGGUUUUAUCGAGUCAAACAAGAUUUUCCUCUAGCCAUGUAUUAUUAUCUUCUGAGCUUCUAAUAAAGGGAAUAGUAUGCUAAAAGAAAAUUUCUCUUAAUUUUUGGAAUUUGAGAAAAAUCUUUGUCUAAAAGCGUUGGAAUUUGAGAAAUGCAUACCCAUCAUGUGAAAAAAAGUAGUAGCAAAAAUAACCACAUACAUACCUGUAAAGAAGCAUGUUUUAAUUGAAAUGACUAAAAGCUACUUAGCUACUAUAAUGAGGCUCCAACCAUUGCCUCCAUUGAUUAGACCUCGUUGAAGCAAGCUUCCUACCUACUCUUGUCAAACCAAAACCAAAAAUAAUUGGGUUUUUUUCACUUGUCAAGAAAUGUAAAGGGCAGACAUGGAAAAUCUAAUUUGCUUUAUUUGUAGAAAAAGAAAGUGAAUGAUAUAUUUGUUUGGUUGGAGAGAAAAAGCAAUUUCAUCAUGUUCCUACCAAAAUAGUUGAUUAAGUAACUAGAUUACAAGUAUAUUAGCAUCACAUUAUUAAAUAAAAUAAACAACAAAACAUGGCAAUUAGGCCCCUCAUUGUAUCCACUCUCAAUGUUUGUAUAUAGAAGAAAUCAAGCUAAUUAACAAAUUAACACAAAUCCCAAUUGUGGUGAUUCCAAGACAUUUGGUACAAAAAGUCAAUAGAGUGGACAUUAAAACUUUUUUUUUUUGUCAACUCAAAAUCCGAUUCUCCUAAUUCAUAAAUUUGCCUUUAAAAUUUAUGCGAUUUAUUUUGUGACACCCUUAAAUUUAUGAAGGGGCAAUUAUAAACUUAUGCUUUUUGCAUUUUAGUAAUAAUUAUGUCUUUCGGACAAUUAAAAUAAUUUAUAUAAAAGUUCAAUUAUAACCUUGCACUUUUAUAUUUUAUUUUGGUGAAUAAUAUAAUUAUUACUAAAUAUGAAAAUGAUAUGUCAUCGUAAAUUUAAGAGUGCUACAAGACAAAUCACGUAAAUUUUAAUGUCAAAUCUAUCCGUUUGACUAAAUUAGAAUUGAUAUCAACUUGUUAAAAGCAAUAAUGCUACUCUAGUAGUAAAUGGCACAUCUUUUUCUAUUAGGUAAGCUGUAAUUUGUCAAGUUGAGAAAAAAACUUCACUUCUAUACCAAUCUUGCUUUAAUUUUCUGUCAGGGUCUUUUCUAGUUCUAGAGGCAAUUUAAUCAUAUGGUAAUUAGUACUUAUUAAGACUAAUCAUAUAUAGAAGUAAUAAUAGAAACUUAUUUUUAUUAAUUAGUGAUAGAAGUAAACUUAGGAAAUUUGAGAGAAUAUUGAAAUUGCUAUUGAAAUGAUCAGAUGUCCAUUUAUAGGACAUCAUACAAAUAUUUAUACUAUAUUUUUUUUUAUUUUUUUAGUAAUUGAAGAUAUAAACAUAUAGUAAGAAUCUCGGUUAUAAAUACCAAAUGAGGAUCUUGGUAAUUAAUGACCUUUAAUAACUCAUUUGACAGACUGUUACUUAUAUUCAAACGGAUAUGGAUGUUGCUCGGUUUAUUGUGUCUAUCUGCCGAUUUUAAGUUGCUCAGUAUAACUUAAUAAUUGUUCCUAUCAAUUAGGUUAAAUUAUAUAUGUUGGGUGAACUCAGAAAUAUUGAGAUUUUUUACUCUUCAACACUAGAAACUGUGGAAGUAAUCAACAAACUUGACUUCAACCGAGUCAAACUUUUCAACCAUAUACAUAUUAAUUAUUGUACAGAAAGAAAUCAAUUCCUAUAUGAACAAAAGAUGAUUCUUUGAAGGCUACUCAUUGGAAAAUUUUACAUCUAUCAUGUUAUUUUCCUAUAUAUAAUUAGAAAUUCAAUUCUGAGCAAGAAAAUAUAGUGAUGGCUGCAAAGAUUUUCAAACUUGCAACCAAUAAAAAAAUGUCAAAAUAGAAAAAAUUAAAAUGAUACUUUUUGCCUCCUUUGAUUGCUUUCUGUGCCACCAUGUAAGUUUUGUUAAGGAAUCACUUUAUAAAGCAUACAACUUUGGCUUUUAAAUUUAGUCUCUGUAUGUUUAAAAUUCGUAUUCUUUUUCCACUUCCAUCAAUGUCGAAUGUGCAAAUUAAACUAUUUUGGUUCAUGAAUGACAUUUAGAUUGGAUAAAAUAAUUUUUUAUUUUAUAUUUAUUUGAUGUAAAUAUUAAAUAACUCUAAGUUAAGUGAGUUUGGAUAGAAUUUAUAAAUUGAAUUAGGAAUUUAUACCUCUAAUAUGCUCCAAUUUUAUUCGAUUUUAAGUAUGCCAAGAUAUAUUAAUCAUACCCUUUUAGGGUCUGUUCGGUAAAAUUGAUUAUUUUGAUAUUUGUUAGUUUUUAUUUGAGUAGUUUGUCAUAAAAUGUUAAAAACUGAACGUUUAUAAAACACUAUUUUAACUUUUAAAAACUAGUUCAUAUAUUAUAUUACUAAAUAUUAUAAAAAAUAACGUUUAGUAUUUUGAUCGGUCAAAAUUCUAAAAGCUAUUUAAAAAUAUCACUAACUCUUUGAGUCUUCAUUUCCCACUAUGGCAUUGGCAAAAGGUAGAUCUCAAAUUAAUUGCAGAGAAAUUUUCUCAAAUUUUUCAAUGAAGCUAAACUCAACAUAACACAAGAACCAGAUUGUAGGGUCAUUUUAUAUCAGAUGCAUAAUGGGUGACAUCAAGGUAUGUCAGAACAUAUUUAUCUACUUAUAUAUUGAUUUUAAUCAAAUUUUUGUUUUUUUUUUUUAAAAAAAAUCAAAUUUUGUUUGCCUUUCAGUUCUAGAUAUUGCCAUUGGGACCCAAAAUAGGCUCAUCUCAGUCUUUAAACAUGAGCUGACAUAAAACAGGAUUCUUGAACAUGGUUUCUGCUCUCUGGAUUUCCUCAAAGCUAGACUUGCUUGGCUUUCUUGACCCACUACAAGGUACAUUUAUAUAUACUCCUUUAGAAAUUAAUCAUUAAUUACCUAUGUUAUAAAUUCAUUAUUUCAAGUGAAAAAUAUUUUAGGUCAAAAGAGAAGAAAGUGACCUUAUUUGUUAUUAGGUGGGUGGGUCGCUCUUACCUUCCAUAAAUAAAAAUUUUCACAUUUUAUUCUAAAAUUGGAAUUUGAUGAGUCCUUUGAGCUCUAACCAUUUAAGUGCAAAAGACUGAAAUAUUAAAAUCUAUAUAUAUGGAAUAUAAUGUGAGAAUCAAUAGUGACACAAUAGAAAAUGACUCUAGAACAAGAAAAGCAUUGGGUGGCUUAAAGUAAAAAAGAUCAAAAGGCUAUUUUCUUUGUUAUUUCACAUUGGACUUAAUUUAAAGAGAGAGUGUAUUUCUUAGAAUGGGGCAUGUGAGCAAUCAAAGCAAAUUUUAUUAGAAAAAAUAAACUUGUCUGUCUUCUGAAUUUGAUUAGCAAAAUGAAUCCCUAAUUUUUUUAUGUGAAAAAAAAUUGAAGUAAUGGGUAAUGAUUAAAUAUAUCCCAAAUUCUUUAUUUUUAAUUAUUGAUGGUUCCUGAUUUUUUUUUUUUUUUUUUUUUUGAGUUGUAGGAAAAGAGUCUCGAACCUAGAUUUUUUAUCAUGUAGUAUAUGCACUUACCAUUAAACUAUAUCUUAAUGUGAAUGAUUCUUGAUUAAUUAAUUACCUUCAAUAAUAAGAAUACUAACCUUCAACUGGAUUGAUAACGGUCAAACAAUUAUAUUCUAACUCUGAUCUCUUAUGCCUUUUGUUUAAUUUUUAUUCUUCUUCUACUUAAUUAUAAGGCUAUUUGUUAAUUACAACCACCUCCUUUUUUUUUUUUUUUUUUUUUUUUUUUUAAAGGGUUAAUUCAUUGAAAGGCUUAACGAUUCAGAAUAAUAGACAUCCUACUUGAGAGGUAGUCUUCUCCUUUAACUCAUUAAAAUUGAUAAAAAAUUUUACAAUCGAAAAGACUCGAAUCUGAAACAUCCUACUCGUAUCAGUGAAAAUACAAAUCAGACCACAUAUGAUUGACUAAUUACAAUCUUAUUUACAUAGACAUCUUUUAUUUCUUCAUAUUUGCAAAGUGUAUUCAAAUUAAAUUAUAAUUCAAUGUUUUUUUUUUUUUUUUGAAAGAUAAAUUAUAAUUCAAUGUUAAUCUCUAUAUAACAGCAAAUUAAGAAUCCAAAUUUCAGUUGGUACGGAAUUCGCCUUCAUAAUAUAAAAGUUGGAAGAGUAUAUAUAUAUAUAUAUAUGGAGAAUGCGAAUGGAAGAAAGAAAAAGCAAAAGGUGUAUAUUUGUUAGAUUGUAGAGUAACACUGAAAAGCACUGGUCAAAAGAUGCACAACAUAAAAGUUAUUAAAAGUUGAAUUAUGGAGAAAUAUAUGUUGCAUGCAUACUUUACUGCCCUUAAUCUGUCUGUGGGCUGUGAGUUAAAUUUUUUAAAAUAGAAAAAUACAAAAAAAAAAGAAAAAAGAAAAAUACAUCCAAUGUAAGUAUCCUUUCAUCAGCCAAAAAUGAAAUAAAGAAUGGAAGUGGACAAGGACAGUAUGGUCCACCAACACUAAAACACAAGCACACACAAUGAUAAUAAUAAUAUCUCACAUAUUGGAUGAUGAUUUUCUAAUGAUAGCAUGUAAAAAGGUAAAAUGCUUCAUUUUUAUGGUGAAAAAAAUGUGCAAUCCUAAUUAAAACAUUGUAGUUUGAACCCUUUGUUCAUCUUUCUUUGGUUUGGAUAGUGAUGCUUCAUCACUUCAGCCUUUCAAAUAUGACUUUUCUCCACUUUUCUUAUGUCAAAUUUCUCCUUGUCUACAUUUGAGGCUAGGAAUAAUACCUGGCCAAAGUUAUAAGUUCAAAGCUUAAGCUCCUGUACUUUUCUUAGAAAAUAAAAAAUAAAAAACAGAGAGAGAGAGAGAGACAUUUCCUAUGAAUUUUGCAAUAAGACAGUAAUUUUCUUAAAAGAAGCUCGAGCUGGAAAAUUUUCAAAAUUAAAAAGAAAGCCUGAGCUAGACAAUACUUGGAACUAAAUGAGGUCUUAGUGGGGACCCCAAGUUCUUCAAACUUUAUAAGAAGAUGAUAAUUAUUGAAAAGCAUGGGCUAGAUAAUCAUCAGAGCAAAUACAAGCUUUGGUUGAUGAUCUUCAAUUAACAUUCCCUAUUAUAAUUAGGGUAGUUAAAAGGGGCAAUUUCAAAGUGGGAAACCUUGCUUUACAAAAAGAUGUGGACACCAUGAAUUGAUUAAUGUAUAAUAAGAAGUUUCUCUUCAAAAGAGAUAAUCAUGUAAAUAUGGUAGGGCACAAGAAUUAUCUUCUGAAAUAUACUUUUGCUUUUGCAAUCUUUUGAAAAGGAUUUAUUCAUGUGUGCCGGUCACUUUCUCUCUUGGUUUCGUGUUCCCACCAUUUUCUUCAUGAACAUUAAAUAAAUGACCAGUCAUGCAAAACAAAUACCACCUACUUAGGGGAUAUGAGACAUGGAGAGAAUUACUCGACUAAUUAAUCUUUGAUCAUUACCUCAUCACAGGAUAAUCACCAAAGGAUAGCAUAAUUCAUGAGGGAAAGCUAUAAAAAUACAAUGCCCCUGUUAGUUCUAGAAAUCAGAAUCAAAAGCAUGCACAUGCAUAUGUAAUCAAUCACAAAAAUGCAGUGGAAAAUAAUUUAAAAUUUCUCUCAUCAUCUCUCAAGCAAUUCUAUGCCUCCACAAGGAUGUCAUUACUUUAACACCAAUGCCUACUCAAAUCUCAUUCUAGUCUUGCCCCACUUCCAUUUGCGAGUAACUACAUAAGAGAGAAUAAAAAAAGCAUCCCAGCAUCAAAUGGUUCCAAAGCACCAACUGGAAUAUGUUCACUGCUUUUACAAGGCCAUACCUAAAUUUAUAUUCAAAUAUUUCAAUAUUUCAGAUAAUUCUCAUGAACUUAAAUAUGAUUCAAUUGGAAUGAAUUUUGGUGAUAUCAAAAACAAAUAUUUAACAGCAAGCUGAUGAGUGUACUAAGAUCUAUUAUAAACAAUUUAGCAGAAAAAAGACUCAGAGCUCAGGCAAAAUUGAAGAUUGCAAUCUGACCGUUUAAAAAUCAUAUUCCUCCUGUAGCUACUUGAUGCAGUUGUAGCUAUAUAAAGCAAGAAAACAACAAGAAGCAAAAUUAUAAUGGAAACAAUAGAAAUGUACCCUUGAAAUCUCACUUCCAUCGCAGAGACUGCCUAAUUCCAGUGUAGAUAAGCCCUAAUGACCUCCCAAUCAAAGAAACUAGAAAGAAUGAGAUGGCAUUGUUAACUUUGUCGAUGACAGCUCUAAUCAGCGGCAUGGUAAUAUCAGAUAACUCAAGGUACAGACUGAAAUAGUAUCUCCUGAGAAACAAUUAAAGAUAAUUUAGAAAGGGUAAUAGAAAAUAUUUUUGCUUAUAAUACUUAAAAUCAUAUAGCAGUUGAAGAAUGCAGCAAAAUAAGAUUAGGUGGUAGUAAAAGGUCCUGGCAGAUGACUGAAUAAUAACACACUCCACACCUCAGAGAAGGAUGAGUAAAAUCACACAAAAAGAAUGGGAGAUGAGGAGAGAAACAGAAGGGCGCUAAGGUCGGGGCUGUACAUUUUUGUGCAUCACUUUAGAGAAUAAAAGAAACUAAGAAGUUGGGUGCCUCUCUUUAUGAGGUCACAGAAUGCAAAUAGUUUCAGAAAUAUACUCCUCCUCAUGUUCUAUUUUGCAAAUGGAUAAACUCUUAUUUGUGAAGAGCAUUAGUCCAAAUACAAAAAGUAUUACUCCAACAAUGCUAAUUCAUGUCCAACAGGAACCCCAACUUAUAUACUACUAGCAUUAUCAUUGUUCAGCUGUCACCCGAUCAAAUUCAGAGAUUCAGCUUAACAAUUAUGGAUUACCUCCAGAAAUUAACCUUGUAUCGUUACAAAAUUAACAAAAAAUUUUCAUUCAUUCCAUCUAUCCCAUAGCCAAAAAUACUUGCAACUAUUAUUGUCAACAAAGCUUUACAUUCCAGAAAUAUGGCCAAAAUAAUAGUAUAUUGUAACUGAACACUCUACUCCAGCCACCUUUCUGUUUUGACCCCAUAGGACAACAAAUUGAACAAUUAGCAGAGAGAUUGUUCUAACUGUUUUAUCUCGCAUUUACAAUUUGUGGAGAAAAUGAAAUGUGAGUAGGAGUUUCUACAUAUCAACUAUAUUUCACAAUUAUUUCUUGAGACUCCACAAUUACAUUUUUAAAUUGAUGAGAAAGUUCAUGUCAUGUGCAAGGCAAAAAAAUUAAAAAAAAAAGGAACCAGUAGAGUCAAAGUAUUAAAGACUUACCACCCUGUCAAGGCCCUUAAUUCUUUUGUCCGUUUUACAGGCAUGGAGAACUGGUUUAUCAUGACAUAAUAUAAUGAAGCUGGAAUUGUUUCAGAUUUUUUUCGAGUAAGCUUCUUCCACCAGCUACGAUUUUCAGCCUGACUCAGGUUUGGUUCCUCAAUGAUUUUGGACUGUAGAGUGCACAGAUCAAAUCGAUCCUCAUACAUUGAUACAACUGCCUCCAUAUUUUGAUACAACCAUUGAUUCAAAGCCACCUGUUAACAAAAAAUUCUGGAAUUUCAACUGUCUGUGCCAGAAGUCCACAUUCUGAAAUAUCACACAUGAACUGAACAGCAAUGUUUAACUUCUAGAAAUGAAUAUUGUCAACACCCCCAGAACCCCCCCACCCCCAUGGGCGCCCAAAAAUAAAUAAAUAAAACAAUCUUUUGUGUCAGACCCCAAAAGAGGAAGAGUACAAGAAAUGAAGGAAAAUGUGUGAAUAUUGCAAAAAAUCUUUCCUUUAAGAAUCAAGUAAGAAAAAAAACAAACUCUACAUGCAACAAAAUAUAUGCUGCCAAAAAUAUUAAUAUGAAUGAAUAAAAUUCUCUCUUUCAUUGAUUAGUUGGUCAAGCAAAACGAGAAUUCUAGGUGCAUUUCUGUUUCGCUUUAAAAGUUCACAUUGUGACCAUUGCAGGCUGCUAACUAAUUUAUUAAUAUUAAAAGCAACAAUUUUCCCUGUAUAACUAUGUGCCAAUUGAAAUGUAAUGGAGAAACAGAGGCAAAUGUUUCUGAGCAAAAACAAAAUUUCAUCUUAACUGAUUACUUAAACUGAAGUUCCAUAUGGAUGACAGAUACAGGUUCAGCAGGUCAGAAAUUUAAUGCAAUUAAAAAAAAAAUAAAGCUCAGGACAAUAAAAUGCAGGAAAAAGAGGAAUACCAUAUUCCCAUUAUAAUUCUGGUUGACAUCUUGAUAUAUAUAUAUAUAUAUAUAUAUAUAUAUAUAUAUAGACACAUAGAGAACAGCUACUAUACCUCAUUGCGCAAUCUUUGGAUUGCUCGGGUUGACAAAUUACACAUAGUCAUUCCCAGGUUGUUCAUUUCAUUUGACAAAUUACCAUCAACAGAAAUAAGCUCCAAAUAAACAUUGGCAACGCCAUCUGCUAAAGUUAUUACCAAAUCUUCUAAUAUGGAAUCUCCAUGCAAAGAAAACAAGCUCUGGUCAUAACAACAACUCUUCCUGCCAAAAUAGAAAUGAUAGUACAGGAAAUGUGAACAGUGGCAUCAAGAUUAGGUUGAUUACAGAAUGUAACAUAAAGUAAAAUUAGGAACAAUAUGCAGAAGGCUGCUGGACACUAAAAAGAGAUAUUCAAGCCCCUAUACUUUUAUUUUAACACACUAAACCUCUGGAUUUUAAGCCUGUAGUUUUCAAACGCGGACAUAGCAGCCAGUCAGGGUGGGAACCAGUACAAUUCUAAGAGAUCCCAGAUUGCACAAGAACUUAGAGUGGUUAAGAAGAAAGAAAACAAGACAACCAUUACUAAAAUUACCUGAGAAACCCAAAUCUAAGAAAGUAUAAUAAUUCUGCAUAAAGAUCUUCCUUGCCUGACUUUCUUAUGGUCUGUAAAACAACUUCAUCUCCCUUUAAUUUCUGAAUCAUCAACGAGAAAAGUGCCUAGAGAGAGAGGGAAAAACAAAAAGGAUAUUUAACCUAAACAAGCAAGGAAUGUGUAAUAAAACUCAUACAGAUAUAUAUAAGCUUUUCCACUCGAUACCUCAUCGAGUUUCUUGUUUUCAAGGCAAAGUUCUUCCCCUAGCCAAGCCAUGCAUAUGCAGUCAAAAGCCUUUUGAAUAGUUUCAGGGAAAAUAGUCAACCAAUCAUCCAAAGUAAAAGCCUCGCAAUCACCUAAAACAUUAUUCACCUGCAAACAAAAAUUAUGAAACCUUAAUUGACAAACUACUAAAAUGAUAUUAAAAUGCAUACAUUAGAUAUGUCAAACAGUCCAGAUCUAAUAUCUUAUAUCCCCCAUUUGAAAAACUAAUGUGAAUAGAGAAAAUUUUCAUGAAAUAAUUGUUUGGCCUGACAUCUUAUACAACAUUUUAUUAAAAGCUGUGCAAAAUUUAAAUCAUGAACUUUUUGAGUUCCUACAAGAAAAUCAAUUCGUCAUAGGCAUUCAAUGGAAAGGCCAUUAACUAAUUAAUUAGGUUUCAGGUAUAGAUUACAGAGACAGACAUGAAGUUAAAUAAGCCUUAAUUCCAAUUUCAAAAUUCCAGAGACAGUCAAAGCUCUCAAAUUUUUUGAAUGACAUAGCUGCUCUCAGGCCUUAAACCGACAAUCUCUUUGUUGUAAGCUCAAGACUUUUACCAUUGCACAAGACAAUUCCCCUUAUCACAGACAUUGAAUUAUGCUAAGGAAUGAGAGUAAAAAGCAUACUUUAGGUGGGUCCUUCUUAUAGAUGCUUCCUAUAAGAUAGGAACAGACACAACUCCUCAUAAAUUAAAAAUAAUUGGUCAUUAUGGGGAAAAUAGUCACCAAAACAACUCUUUUUUUGCAUCAAAUGACAUAUAAACAUAAAUAUAAGGAUCUAUACUUCAAAAAUAUAGUGUUUUUAGAAAUGGUUAUUUAAAUUGCUCCUCUAAAAUUUUUGCCCAGAAAAUAGAAAAAAAAAUAUCUGUUUUGCAAGCACAACAACAAAACUGUUGGUCAAUGCUACUCAUCUCAGUCUAAAGCUAUGAAUUUGUAAUCUCGCAUGUGGUUAUAACAUGCAAGAUUGUUGUCAAAAAGAUUUAAUAGCCAAAAAACAGCUGAUUCCGUAUCUUUAACUACUGCUUGCCUGUGUUUUAACUACUGCAAAAAGAUUCACUCAAUCAAUAAACUACUUGUUUUCUUUCCCAACUGUAUCUUUUAACUUGUAAGCCCUUGAGAGCUCAUGCAGAAAAGUGACUCGAAGCUAACAGAGUUAGGCAAAGUAAUUUCCAUGAACCUUUGGAUUUAUCAAACUAUUAUUAGAAGAUGAUGGUGGUUUAUCCCAAAAAAGAAAGAAAGAAGAAAAUAGUGACAGUGCCUGCCUCAUCCUCGAGAUGUUUAAAAGAAGUCCAAAGCAAUCGCAACUUGGGCCCCUCAGAUACAGCAUACAAACUUAAGGGCCUCUUUGCAUUCUCUUGAUCAAGUUCAAGGAGUCUGUUUCCGAGAUUGCUCUUGUGUUCUACAGCAUUGAGAGCAUAUAAAAGUUUCUCCUUUACUGCAUCCCAGGCACAUUUUAUAUUAACACAGUCAUCAUUAUUUUUGGCACUGCAAAUAAAGAAAAAUGUCUUAAUCAAACACAAAAAGUAAAGCAUAGACACAUAAAAGAGAUAGCACUCUUAUCUUCAGAAAGCAAAUGACAUAAAGAAAUAUAUAUAUAUAUAUAUAUAUAUAUAUAUUGGAGCUAAAAUAAAUUUUUGAUCUUCUUACCCUUACCUACCAGAAGAUGUUGCAGUUUCACCAACCACAUUGUCAUAUGAGAUUCUCCAUGAAGUAAAAUUGGGCCUCUUAAGAGGAAGUACUCCAGCCAUAUAUGUUAGGGCUAUGCUGGUUAUCAGCAGCAACUGAUCACUAACAGAAACCAAAUCAGAAGCUGUAAGACCAUCAGGGUCCACCAAGGAUCCCAAGCAACUACACCUCAAGGCAGAUUCCCUGAUAAAAGGACUUGAUUUAAAAUUUGAGAGUCCAGAUCUAUAUGUUUUCCGAGAAUGGAGGCAGAGAACUUUCCAACUUCCACGAGGAUACUUUCUGCAGCCAAAACAUAAUGUGUUAAAGCAUAAUGAUUGCUAACACUUACAUUUCAUUAGUGAUAUGAUAUGAUGGCAAACAAAUUCAUCCGUUUAAAACAUUCAUAUCAAACUCAUUUCUUGCCUAUUUCUUUCUGUGUGAGUUAGUUUGACACUGUCUAGUAAUCAUUGGGAUUCAAAGAAAAUACAAAAUUGAGGUUCACGAUGCAGAUAAAAUAUGAAAUUUGAUUAAUUUUUAAUUUCCCCAUCAAAAUGCCAGCCCUACAUAAUGUCCUUCAGGUAACGGCUACUGAUAAAAUCAAAACUAAUAAACGCAGCAAACAACUCUGAGCGUUGACAUAUACAAUCACAUUUUCAAGUCAAUCAAAAAUAAAAAUCCCAUAAGGAUUACAAGGUAAGGAAGAGGAUACCUCUGUGGCGUCUUAAAAUGUGAAUUCCGGAUUAAAUAGCCCUUCUCUUUGACACAGCUUGUCCAUAAAUGCAGCUUGACACAUGGAGUGGAAGCUAUAUAUUCUGCCAUUGCUAAACAAUAACUUCCUGCCUGCCACUCAACACAUUGCCUGUCUAUCGAACACUUCAGCCAUCAAAUCAAUGUCUGCACUGACAACAAGGUCCGUUAAAGGUCAAAUCACAGCCAAUUGUAACAGUUACAGUGAAAAGAUUGGGAUGUGUAGGAAAUGCAGUUACCGUUAAAGGAAGGCAAUUCAGAAUUGUAAAGAUAAAUCAAAGAAGCUAAAAGUGAGUAAAGUUAGUGUUAGGUUUUUGAUAAAAGAAGUGGCUGUAAAUGGAGUCGAAUAGGGAUUUGGAUUGGAUUUGAGCGUACCUGGUUUUUGAGUCGAUGAACUUUGUGAUCGACAGCUCGUCGUUAUCACUGGGACAGCAGAGUCGGCCCUAGUUUGACGUACUACUUGGAUCAAAUGAAUCGGAUUCGGAUAUGUCCAAUUCUUUACAGUCAAUUCUAGCUAAGAUUAAUUUAGAAAUAAUUUUAUUUAUUUAUAUGGACACAAUUUAAAUGCGGAAUUCAACUGUAUAAUUCCACAAUUGAAAUUUAUUUAAUAUCACUUGUUAAAUUACUCUCAGUAAUAAAAUUGAAAAAUAAUUAUACCUAAUAGUUUAAAUUUAUAAUAAUUAAUAUAUAUAUAUAUAUAUAUANNNNNNNNNNNNNNNNNNNNNNNNNNNNNNNNNNNNNNNNNNNNNNNNNNNNNNNNNNNNNNNNNNNNNNNNNNNNNNNNNNNNNNNNNNNNNNNNNNNCCCCGACACAUGAGAAAUGUGAUUUCCUCUAUAUAUAUAUAUAUAUAUAUAUAAACUCACGAUAUAUUAAUAAAUAUAAUAAAUUCGCGAUAUAAGAGUUGAGUAGAACAAUAUAUUAGUAAAUAUAUAAUAUUAAAAAGUCAACACAAAAAUAAAAAACAUUUAAUUUAAUCAGCUAUACAUGAUAAUAGUAAAUAAUAUUAAAUUAAUUGUAGUUUAUAAUGAAGAAGAUGAAAAUGAGAAUUUCAGUUUAAAAAAAAAUUAAUGCAUUUGUUUCAAAUUUCAUCAAAACUUAAUAAAUUUGACUUUAAUUAUAAACAAUUUAAUAUAAUUCAAUUCUUAAAAUUGAAUUAUAAAUUUCUUUUCCCACUAAAUAUAUAAAGCAUAAAAUUUAAUUAAAUUUAAUUACAUUUUAUAAAAUUGUUAUCAAUCAUAUUUAAAGAAGCAAAUGUUAAAUAAGUACACUUAUACGCUAAAUACAUAUAUAAACUUUUGAGAAACUAUAAUUUUUUAAAAUAUAAUGACUUUUUGUUUCGGAAUGAAAUAUAACUCAAUAUUUUCAUUUUUUUAGUAAAAUCAUUUUUAAUAUUUAUAAAAUUCAUUUGCAGAUAAAUAUAUUUUAAACUUGUAAUAUUUCAAUUUAAUUUAACAAAUACAGUUAAAUUAUAAUUAUGAUAUUAAACCUUUUAUUUUAAAUGAUAAUAAAGAUUAAAAAUAAUUAAUGAUAAUCAAUAUUAUGAUAGAGAUAGUUAUUUUAUUUUCUUAGGAUACAUAUUUUAUGAGAAUUAAUUAAUAUAAAUGUAAGAUAAGAAUUGUCAAAUAAAAGUUUUUAAGUGUUAAAAAGAGGCUUGUAAAAAGAACACGUGUCAUAUGUCAAAAUGAAGAAAAUAUGCUUGUCUUAUGUACGGGAGAUAAUGUGACAUAAUUACAAUAAUAUAGUUUUUAAAAUUCAUUUUUCAAACAUCUGGGGUGGUGGCGCAGUUGGCUAGCGCGUAGGUCUCAUAGCUUAGAGGAAUCCUGAGGUCGAGAGUUCGAGCCUCUCUCACCCCAUAAAUUAUUUUGACAUUUUUUUUAACUUGGGCUUGCAUGCAUCGGCCCAUUUAAUUAAUCGGACCAUUCAAACUCAUAACAUGACCAAUACGAUCUGGCUCGACUCGACUAUCUUGUCCCUUAUCAAAAACCCUAGUAGCCAUUAGUCCAGUCUCCCUUUUCCAUUCUUCGCUGUUAAAGUUAGACCCUAGCACAAGCCUUUUCCAGGUAAUUUUCCUGCUAACUUCCCCUUAUUCUUCUCAGUUUUCUAUUGAAUUUAUGGUCUUAUUGCAUGACUUAUAAUUUCAGGAAGAAUAACUAGCAAAUAUGGUGAAGAAGAGCAAAAGUGAGCAGAAACAUUUCUCUAAUUGAAAUUCUAUUUAUUGGAUAUUGAGUUUGCUGGCUUUGUGACUUAUUGUUUGUGGUGCUUUUACGAUAUGCAGAGAGUAAGAGUAAGAGAGUGACGUUGAAGCAGAAGUAUAAGGUUUUGAGGAAGGUCAAGGAGCAUCACAAAAAAAAGGCCAAGGAAGCAAAGAAACUAGGGUUGAAGAAUAAACGCAAGGUCGAGAAGGAUCCUGGUAUUCCUAAUGACUGGCCCUUCAAGGAACAAGAGCUAAAGGCUCUUGAAGCUCGCCGGGCCCGUGCUCUUGAGGAACUAGAGCAAAAGAAAGCUGCUCGCAAAGAGAGGGUAUUGAUUCAAUUUGCUUAAUCCUCUCUGUUGCUUGUUAUGACCAAUUAUUUUGUGUAGUUAUUGGUUUUUGUCUCUGUGACCUUUCCUCAUAGCUCAUUAUUAAAAAAGCAACCUUUGCGUGUUUUUGAGUGGUUCGCCACAAUGCUAUAGUUUUUAAGAAGGAAAUUGGUUUCAUUUAAACAUGAAAGUGUUUAUUUAGAUAGGUCACUUUGCAUUUAUUUUUAGGUCGAUUUCUAUUUUCUUUAACAUUUUAUGUUGUAUAGCUGCUAUAGAUUGAUGUUGUUUUCCUAUAUGUUUGGUGGCAUAUUGAUAGUAGAUCUUCACAUACUUUUUUAGGCUCAAAAGAGGAAGUUGGGUUUACUCGAGGAUGAUGAUUCUUCUGCAAAAGAAAAAAAUUUUGAAGAGCAAAAUAGCAAUGGAGAUUUCGGUGGAAUUGCCAGAAAUCGGGGUAUGAUAAUACUUAGUUGGAACAUGUGUGAGUGGAAAGUUUUAAGGAUGAUAUAUCCAUUUCAUUCUAAUAUUCACUUGAAUAUUUUAUUUUCAUACAGAUAAUUCAGAUAGGGCAUUCUACAAAGAGUUGGUUAAAGUCAUUGAAGAAUCGGAUGUCAUAUUGGAAGUCCUUGAUGCCCGAGAUCCUCUUGGUACCCGUUGUGUUGAUAUGGAAAAUAUGGUGAUGAAAUCUGGUCAUGAUAAGCAUCUGGUGUUACUUCUGAAUAAAAUUGGUAAUCUCUCUUCCUUAUUCAUCCUUCCUUAUUUCUAUUGGAUUUCAUUAUAUUUUCAUGUUGCUGCUUAAAUGUUUACAUCGUUUGGGUAUGUUAUGGAAUGCUUCAUUAGUUCUUGGUUGUAGUAUCUUGUUUUCUGACUUUAUUAUUGUUCUGAAGAUCUUGUUCCUCGAGAAGCUGUUGAAAAAUGGCUAAAGUAUCUCAGAGAAGAAUUGCCUGCUGUUGCCUUCAAGUGUAGUACCCAAGAGCAGAGGUCAAACUUAGGUUGGAAGUCUUCCAAAAAAGCAGCAAAGACCAGCAAUCUUCUGCAAACGAGUGAUUGUCUUGGAGCUGAAACCCUCAUUAAAUUGCUGAAAAAUUACUCAAGAAGUCAUGAUGUAUGUUAAGCUAUUCUAUUUCUUUUUUUUUUUUUUUCUUUUUUUUUUUUGAGGCGAGGGAAAUUAAGGUUGAAGUCUGUGGAUAUUUGCUUGAAGUCUUCCGUUAAUUACUGGAAUUUCCACUGUUUUAAGCAUUUUUAUAUUAAAGCUGUGACGCUAUGGAUUGGGGUUGCUAUACAUUGGGGGUUAUUUAUUUGUUAUGUUUUCUUUUUUUUUUUUUUUUUUUUCAUGCCUCUUAAGUGGUACUCUUUUGCAUCCUUGGUUUUGGCAGAUUAAAAAAUCUAUUACAGUUGGUGUAAUCGGCUUGCCUAAUGUUGGUAAGAGUAGUCUGAUUAACAGCUUGAAGAGAUGUCACGUUGUCAAUGUUGGUGCUACUCCUGGGCUAACAAGAUCAAUGCAAGAAGUUCAGCUAGACAAGAAUGUUAAAUUGUUGGAUUGCCCUGGUGUUGUAUUGCUAAAGUCUAAGGAGAAUGAUGCAUCUAUAGCUCUUCGUAACUGCAAAAGAAUUGAGAAGCUAGAUGAUCCAGUUAGCCCUGGUAAGUUAACGAUUUUCCUAAACAUGUCCCUCCAUUUUAGACCAAUAACUCUGUUUUUUAGGCGAAAACAAGAUCUUCUCCCUUUUGAUAAGUAAAAUUACAGAAAGUUUGAUUGGGUGGGAAGUAGUGUAAAUGGUCAUCUGUUUUUCAUUUCUGAUAUGCUUACCGAUAUACCUGAUUCGCCGUUUACUGGCUUCUUUUACCACCAGAAAUUAUAUUGGCUUUCUGUUUGAAUAAAUAAAUAAAUUAAUUAAUGAUAAAAUUUGUUAUGUCUGGGCCAAAUUCUACCGAAUAUGUUCUAAGGUUUUGUCAACCCUACCUUUUAUAUUAUGAUUACCAUAUUAAUGCUUGCUUUUUCUGGACAAUACAGUGAAAGAAAUUCUCAACCUGUGCCCAGCAAGACUGUUGGUAACUCUGUACAAGAUACCAAACUUUGAAUCAGUUGAUGAUUUUCUGCAGAAAGUGGCUACUGUCAGGGGUAGGCUCAAAAAGGGUGGUAUUGUGGAUGUUGAAGCUGCUGCUCGAAUUGUUCUGCAUGAUUGGAAUGAGGGUAUGCUUUCUGGGAACUUCUACAGUUCUCUCUGCCAUCUUAUUUUAAUGCACAAAUAGAGACUAAAAAAUUAAAAUAACAUGUGAGGUAAUUUGUAAAACAAAGAGAAAUUCAGUUCUGAUUUGAAAAAACAUGAUUUAUUUGACAUAUUUCAGGUAAAAUCCCGUAUUAUACUAUGCCUCCAAUUAGGAAUCGAGAGGAACCUUCAGAAGCUAGGAUUGUUUCAGAGCUUGGGAAGGAAUUUAAUGUUGAUGAGGUCUACAGUGGUGAAUCCUCAUUUAUUGGUAGUCUCAAGUCCGUUAAUGACUACAAUCCUGUUGAAGUACCUCCUAGUUGUCCUAUCAAUUUUGAUGAAAGUAUGAUACAGGUAUGAGAAAUUGCACUUGCAUUCCUCUUCAUCUUAAAAUUAGUUUGGAAACAACCUUCAUUGGUAAUGAUUUCAUUCUUUCACUAUAUUUUCCCUAAUUACUUUUUGCCUCAUCAGGGAGAUAUGGAGACUCGGUCAUCAACCCAGGGUGAUGAAAACUCUGAAGAAAUGAAUGAUGGUGAAGACCAACCAAUGGGUCUUGAAGAAGAUGAUGCAAACAAAACCAAGACAAAAUCUACAACUAGCAAGCAAAAUGAGAAGUUAUAUGCAGCAGAAGGCAUGCUGAAUACAAAAAUGAAACGAGCAGAGAAGAAACGAAGGAAAAAAGCAGCCAAGGUUGAUGCAAUGGAUGAUGACUAUGAUUUCAAAGUGGAUUAUGUGAAGAAAAAAGAUUCUGCCAUGGAUGUUGAAGAUGCUAGCGAGGAAGAAGAUGACAAUCAAAUUGUUGGCGAGGUGCCAUUGUCUGGUGUCAAGUUUGAUGAAGAAUGAAGGGAUGCUUAGCCAUGAGAAAAAACAAAACGCUUUGUUUUCAUUGUUUGACAGCGAGUUAUAUUAUUGUUAAUCUCGUGAGUUAUAUAGUGACUUAAAAAACGAUCGGCAACAAUUAUAUUGAAAUCUGAAUCCUGCAAAGGAAAUUUUUUUAAGAAUGAAGAGAGCUGUUGAUUUCAUUUAGUACUGCUUUUUGACUCUCCAUCACCCAAUGAAAGCGAAGAGAAUAUGAAACUUUUUUGCUGACCUAUGUUAAUCUGUAGAAUGGGAAAUUGAACGUUUGUCACUGAUACUCAUUUUCUGUAUCCUAGAUCUGUUAUCUUAAAUCAGAAAAUAUUUUAGCAAUUAAACGGAAACUAUAAUGUACAGUUAAGGCUGAAACUGUGAAAUUAAAUCGUGAAACAGCUCGUCAAUAUGAAAAGUUUUUUGCAUUCAAAAGAUGAGAUUAUUUCUUCUACCAGGGUGGAUGUGAUCAUAUGCAGAUAAAUUGUCCAGAUAGAAAAAUGCAUUCAAUUCUCACAAAUUGCAAUACUUCAAAUUCUGAAGACAGGUAAAUGAACCCACUAAGUUAUGAAAGGAGAAUUUGUUAGAUGUGUUACUGUGAUAUAACUUUAGCAGUCACUCCCCAGAAGGCACUCGCCAGCAUCCUUCUACCCAAACUGGUCCAUUCUGGGUUCUAGCAUCAAAUGGAGUGAGGUUAACAAGUCUCCAACUUCCAUAUUAUUAAUCUUCAAGUAAUUACAAUAUUCUUCAAGGUAAUUCAGCACAUGAAAGUUUAAAUAUCAAAAUACAUUAUUUCAUUUCAGAUUACAAAGAUACAACUCUCUCUCUCUUUCUCUCUCUCUUUCAUUCAUGUGAAUAACUACGGAUAAGCCAUGUCUUAAAUUUACAGAAUAUGAAGAUGCAUGUUCACUCAUCAUCGGACACCCCAAAAGCAGGGUCUGGACCUGUCUCUGCAGUAGAGGCAGCAUAUGUAUUUGGAGAUGACGGUGAAUUUGCGGGAGUGACUGAAUUGUUGGUUGAUGACGAAGUGGCUGAGUCAACACCAUAUGUAGCUGAUGCUGUUUCAACUUUAGGAAUGAGUCCUUGUGCCUCCCUGGCUUCUCGUGCUGCAUUUUCCUUAGCUUUUCUAGCCCUUUCCAACACAUCUACCUGCAAAGAAAGAUGGCAAAUGCCAAACAGUUUCAAGAAUUUACAUUCAGCUUCAAUCCAUGAAUCCUAAGUUUAUUUGCAUAAAUUUUGUGAUAGUAGUUAGCAGGCAAAUAAAAACUCAGUCACUUUCAGCUUUCAGGAAAGUUAAUUUGACAUCUUUCUCAAAUAUAAAUACAUUCACACAAUAAGGCAUGAAUGUAAGCUAAAGCAAUGCGACGUGGACAUCUAGACCUCUCGAUGAUCAGUUGCGUAGAUUCCAUCUAAUGAGUAGUUCAUUUGAUGCGUAAUUAAAUGCAUCUAAUAAAUAGAUUCCAUCUAAUGCGUAAUUAAAUGCAUUUACAUUACAUUCCAUGAUGGUAAGUAUCAAACAUAGCCUAAGCAUGGCAGCAAGUAAUCUCACGUUCGUUGAGCAACACCAAUAAAAAAAGGGAUUCGCGAGUUACAAGAAACAUUCCAUAUUCAAGACAACUAAAAAACAAUAUUUUUCAAAUGUUGGUAUCCUGAAACAAACAAUUUCUAGCCCAGUCCUUCUUAAUUUGAAGAUAAAAUAAAUGAACACAAUCAAAUAUGAAAUAUCUCCCACUGCAAAUAAAAUGACAACCAAUUUUCUCAGUAUAAAAAGUAUUAAGGUGUAUUUCAAAUAACAACAGCAAGAACAUAAAAGAAUACUCCUACGACAAAUGAGUGUUUUUACAGGUUCACAUUUAGAUAAUUUAUCAAUUUCACUACCUGGAAAUCCUGUAUUUGCCUCUGCUGCUCAGCUUGUAGCCUGCCAAUUAGACUGAGAAACUCUCCAACUGUAGAUUCAAUACGCUCAUUAACUGCUUCUGCUAAAGCCUUUCCCAAGAAAAAUGCAUCCAAAAUAUUCUUGCUCUCAUCAUCACCUGCACAAAUUAAGUACAAGUCACUCUUUUUGCAAAGAAAAUGAAAUUGCAUCACAGAUUUAUAAUUCCUAAUAUUCGUUAAACUAUUAAAAACUCAAAAAUAUCCGACUAAACAUUUUAGUCAAGCCACAAAUAUUAAAAGAAUUACCCAUAAGUAAAAUUAAACCAAAGAUUGAAUCUUUUAUUUCUUUCGGCACUAGCCAAAAAAAGGAAAAAAAAAAUCAAACGUUUCUGUUCAUAUUUACUUUCCAAAAGAAAUUCCAGAUUUCAGAAAAAUAAAAGAGAAAUGCGUUGGUAAUUGUACCGGAACCGGGGCCACCGCGUCCGGUGGCGCUAUUGCAUCGGACAGUUCUUACAUGGGAGUCUUUCGCUGGCGUGUCAAAUCUAAGCCCCGAUUGUUUUUUGACCUUUACAGCUGAUAAGGACGAGAAACUGGGAUUAACUGAGGAAGGUGAACAGCUAUAACUAUACUUUUGAUUAUUGGAUUGAAUAGAAGAGAUUCUGGCGACCAACGGUGGGGAAGCCGAAACCCCACUCAUAUUGAAAAACGAACUUUGUUUUAUUUUCUCUCACUUUCUGUUACUUUCUCGGCGUUUUCUCUCCUGUACUUGUCUGCAUUCCAUGCUAUAAGAAGUACUUGCUCGGUUCGUUUUUUUUUUUUUUUUGUUCUGUGUAGGGGAAAGUGGGUCGGGUAUUAUCCAUGUAUCGGGUUUGGGCUAGUACCAGCUCUAUUACCAUUGGGAUUGGACCUAUAUCUUGGGCUGGGUGAUUGGGCCUAGCGUCACAAAGUCAGAAUAGACUGUGUAGAGGAAAUUAUCUAAAAAAUCAAAAUAUCAGUUGUAAAUUGUAAUAGUUAGAGCCUUUCUAUUUGGUAACUAGAUUGAAAUUACUUUUUAAAAAAUAAUAGUUCACUAAUUUUGACAUUUUUGAAAUAAUUUUUGAAAAUGUCCCAGACGACAAAUCCUUGGCAUUGGUUGACCACACCAGUGUCCAAUGCAACCUACACAUGAACCUUCCUAUGAGAAAAAUCAAGCAUCUCCAACCUAUUAUCCUUUUGAAUUUCUAUCAUCUUAUUUUCAAAACUAUGUAGUUCAUAAAUUUUUUAUUUAUAUGUAGAAUUUAUAUUAUAAUUAUAAAUUAUUAUAUUUAUAACUUCAAUCAAAUUUCUCUAUCUUCUUCUUUUACUUUCCUCCUCUCCCUAAACACACUCUCUCUCUCUAGGAAACCAUGGAAAUUAGGGUUUAGAUUUGAUCACCUUCUGUUAGUCUAACACAAUCUCCAUUCAUGGCGUCUUCUUCUUUAUCUCUACCAGACCUUACCUUCCUCUCUCCACAAACCACACAUAAAAAACUAUCAUCAUCCAGAGAAAACAAAAUUAGCGAAUAUUAUUUCGUAACAGUAGCAUACUCCAUACUGAAGAUAACUUUUAAAUUGAAAAUUAAGGAUAAGCAAUUAAUUAAUAACACUUUUCACAAAUGAUUUUCAGCCUAACUGGCAAGGGUGAUGUCUUGAGAUUUAAAGUUCAUAGGUUCAAUUCUUAUCUUUGGAUCUCAAAACAUCAUCCUUACCUUUUAAGCUAAGAAUUAUUUACUAAUUUAGUUCAUUUAUAUUAUAAAUACAGCUGAAUAUUAUAUAUAAUUUAUUUUCAAAAUUAAAUACUAAGUAUAUUUUCAAAAUUAAAAAUAUAUAAACAAAUAUUUAAUUAAUAGUUUUCUUGUAGUCUACUAAUCUAGUUUAUGUUAAUCUAUCUUAUGCAAUACAAUUAGCUGUCAACUUAGUUAGAAGUACUAUAUAAUAAUACAUUUAUAUAUUAAUGAAACUGAAAUUCCCUAGGAAAUAAUAAUAAUAAUAAUAAUUAUUAUUAAAUAUUACUUAUUUGUUUCAUCUGGAGAAGUAACAUCAACGUUCCUUAAGGGAGGAGAUUCUUGAGUUUUGACAGGCUUUUUAACUAACCAGAUGCUAGUUAAUUGAAGAAGAACAACAGCUGUCACUGAGGUCUUAAGUGUUAUUUCUAUUAUUAGGCACUAAAUUAGUUAAUCAAUAGUUAUCUUUGGGCACUAAUUGCCAACACAAGCAUUUUGAAUUUAUUAUUUGGUAUACCUAAUGUGCAAUUAUGUUUAUUUACUUAAGUUUAAUCACAAUUAUCAAAUACAUAUACUAAUGUUUCAAUAAACAUAUCCACUUGAGAUUCUCAAAUUUAAAAAUUGCUUCUUCAACCACUAAUGUUUCUUUAGAUAAGUGGAAAUCUUUUUAUAAAGACAUGUUCUUUGUGGAAUGUGAGAUGAUAAAGUUUAAUUAAAUAAUUAAUUGAACUAACUCUAUGUUGUUAAUACUUCAAUUCAGUUUCUAAUAAUAAUUGAACUUAAGUUGUGCAUUUAAUAUGAUUAAAUGCUCUAAAGGCAAAGAUUUGAGUUUUCUUUCAAGAGAUCUUUAGGUUUGAAUCUUGUAUGAGAUUGAGAUUAUAAAGAAUUUCAUUGUACAGGUUAUUUAAUUUGGUGAAUAAAAGUUUCUAAAAAACAAUAUUAGUUAAUAUGAGAAGCAUCACUUCAUGUUUCUUUUCUAGUUCCUUUAUUUUAUUUUAUUUAGUUUUUUUUUUAUUCAAUAAACACACUAUCUACAACACUUUUUUAGCUAGCUAUCAGGAUUUUGACCACAUCAAAACUCUAUGCGUUUAAUGAACGUAGGUCUUUAUAAAACGAUAAACACUCUAACAUUUAGCUUUUAAUUUUUUUUUUGACAAUUAUAUCCAUUUUUUCUCUUCAAAUUCAGCUAAUUAAAUAAUUAAUAUUUUUUUAUCAUUUUAAGUUAAACAUCUAAUUAAAUAGUUAUUUUCACCAAAUAUUUCUAAUUUAAUUGAUACAUAAACAACUACCGGCUAAAAAAAAAAAAAACUAAUAACUAACACCUAAUAGAAAUAUUCUUGAACAAACCUUAUAUAUUUUCAAAUAUUAUUUUGAUUUAUUUAUUAUUUUCUUUAUACGAGUGUUGUUGUUUUUUUAAUGGGAUUGAAUGAUUUUUCGUUCCUAGAAUUAUUAUGUUUCUCUUGGACCUUUUUUCAAGUAUGUAGUUUAAAUUUUUUAUUUUGAAUGUUUUACUAAUAUUCAAGCAAUGCGACUUGUUCAAAGAAAGAAAAGUUGAUUUUUGUUGCUCAUAAUAGCCAUCAGACGAAGCACGUUUUUUUGGCGAGUUGCCAAUUUUUAUGUUUUAUCAAUAUGAUUAGAGUUUUCUUACUUUUAAUAAAAAAAAUAAAAAAUGAGAGAUCUCGAAUUUAAAUCUUAUUUACUUUAAAUAAAAUUUUAAUGUCCACGAAAACUAAUCAUAACAUCAGUGAUCAUAUAAUAAGAAACACGUAUGCAAAAUUACUAAUCCACGUAACUAAUCAAUUAUAUAAAAUAAACUACAAAAUUGCAAUCAAACAAUAUAAAAUUUUGACAGUGGUAAAUAAUCUCUUACAUUUUAAUUUUACAAACCAUAUACAAUCAGAAGAUUGAUAAUUGAUAAUUAAUUAUAUUUAUUUUGGGAAAAUUAAGGUAACUUGUUCAAACACAAUAGGACCAGAAAAAUGCGUUACGGUCUUCUCUUCUAGAACAAGGAAUGGGAACAAAAACACCGCCUUAGAUUAAAUCCAAAUAUGAAAUCUUGAAAAUUUUCAAAUCCAAACUGCGUGGCAUUUCCGUUAUUACCUAUGAAAUUGGAGGGUAGCCAAACAACUCAUAGACAACGCUACGCCACGCUACCUUGCCUCCCAUCUAAGCGAAAAGGAAACUCUCUCUAUUUCUAACGAUAAAAUCACUCAUUUCUUUGAUUCAUUUCUACUCUGCAACAACAACAAAAAGCUCAUCACUCCUUUCUCUCUUUCUGAAUCUAUCUCUGUUUCUAGGUUUAGGGUUUAUUUUUUGUGUUAGUGCAGUGUAGAUGGGGCAGCAAUCGUUGAUCUACAGCUUCGUGGCGAGAGGGACGGUGAUUUUGGCCGAGUUUACGGAGUUCACCGGAAACUUCACUAGCAUAGCCGCUCAGUGUCUCCAGAAACUUCCAGCCACCAACAAUAAGUUCACCUACAAUUGCGAUGGCCACACCUUCAACUACCUCGUUGACAACGGAUUUAGUAUCUCCCUUUCUUUCUUUCUAUAUGAUUCUGAUUCGUAUCUUUUAGCUCUUUCUAUGAUCUGAUCUGUGUUUUCUUUAUCAUUGACUGUUUGUUUCUUUCUAAUCUCUUUUCCUAUGCUUUGAUCUGCGCGUCUGACUCUGUUUUUAGUUGACAAUUGAUUAAGUUAAGGAUUUUCAGGGAUGUGAUUAUUGUAGCAUAAAAAUAGUGCUGUUACUGGUUGUUUUUGCGAUUUAGUUCCGUACAAUCAAAGAAUAUUUGGUUCUGAUUUGAAUUUUAUGAUCCUAUCAUUACUAUAUGAAGGGCGUAUACAGACAUAUUCCGCAUAUGAUUAAUGUUUUGCUGAGUGAAAGAUAAUCAGAUCAAUAGAUUGCUCCAGGAUUACGGUGUUUAUUUGAUAAUCUUCUGUUAAGACUUAAGAUAAUGGUAUAUGAGUUGUAAUUACUGCUUUUGUUGUUUCUGUUUGAAUAAGAAUGAUAAAAUUGGAAGGAAAUAUGUAACUGGACCAAUCUGAUUAUUUUCUUAAUAAACACGGUAUAUGAUUUUGCCUUUACCUUGUAAGUGAAAAAAAAAAUGGGAAGAAUCUGUAACCACUUUACUAUAUUUAGUUUAGAUUGAUUGCUAAACUUAAUUAUUUAAUUGGUUGCUGGAAAUAUGAAGAUGGAAGGAAGACCAUGACAGUGACAGUAUCAUAGACUAUGGAACUAAAUUUGGUUAGUAGUUAGUCUUAACAGUUAUAGUCAUUGUUUUCCAGCAUUUGUUGAAUCAGUCUUAAUUGUUCUUUUAAUAAAAGAGAUGAUCACCAUUUUAUCUGGUGACUAAGAUUUAUGUUUCCUUAAUAGGUUCCUAAAUAACUGUGAUUUGGUUUUAAAAACUCUUAAAAUGGGUGCUUACAAAAAGGAAAGAAAUUUAUAUUACUAAACCGAAUCUUAAUCUACAUUUCAUCUCAAUGCUUUAAGGAGCAAUUAAUGAGAACAAGGAUUUGCAUGAGUUGACACUCUGAUUUCAAUGUGGUAUCAAUCCAUGGGAUAGUUCUAUUUCUUUUUCAUACAGUUAUAAUAAUUUGCUGCAUUUGGUAAAAUUUUUCAACCACUUUGCACUGGCAUAACGAUAUGUUUGGUAUUGCUGUUUGAACUACCGUUGAGAAAAUCCUUGCGGAAAUAUUGACUAGAGGUCCUUAACUUUCGUUUUUGAGGUGUGUACUACUUCGACAUGUUCUAAUUAUAAUGUUUCACACCAGUUGAAUAAUACUCCCAAAAUGCUUUUUCCAAUUUCUAAAAUAAUGCUUUUCUGAUUAUCUGUUUCAACUUCAGUGCCAAAUAUGGACUGACAAUGAAAAGUUCAAAUACCAUUGGGGUACUCUUAAAACUAGGUUUUUACUUUGGGAAAACUGCAGGUGCAUCUGUGAUUAAAAAUUUGCAGUACCAAAAGCUUUAGAUAAUACUAUCUCUUAUUUUAUUUAUGAGUUGAUACCCAAAUUUCACCAAGAAAUUUAUGACAUUUUUGGCUUUGUAUACUGGUUACAUAUUUUCAUUAGUUUCCUCCAGAGUAUUCUCUUAAUUAACAUGUGACAUAUGUGUGCACGUGUGUAAGAGAGAGAAAUACAUACACAAACAUGCUCUGAGAGAGAGAGAGAGAGAGUGCUAACUUAGAAUUUUGUACAUGAACAGGAGUAUAUUUUGGAAGGGGGCAACUGACAAAUUACUAUUUUCAUAUGUUAUAUCUGUUUAAGUCUGAGAUAACCACAAAAUUAUUUACAAUAAUAAUAGAAAAGUUACAUAUUUGAUCAACUAUUCAAAUUGGAAAGUCCGAGCUUGGAUAAUCUUGUCCUAUGUAAUCUCCUAUUUGGAUGUUGUCAUAUUUCUAAGUUGAACUAACUGGGCCUUGUAAAUUUUGCAGCUUAUUGUGUAGUUGCUGUCGAGUCUGUUGGACGGCAGGUUCCAAUCGCAUUCCUUGAGCGAAUCAAGGAAGAUUUUACCAAGAAAUAUGCUGGAGGAAAAGCUGCAACAGCAGUUGCUAAUGGCCUGAACAAGGAAUUUGGGUAACUGCUUUCAUUUAUUAGCACAUGAACAUAUGGCAUGCCUUCUCUGUAAUUAUAUUGAUUCCAGAAAGUUCUUAAUUGUGAUAGGCCCAAAUUGAAGGAGCAUAUGCAGUACUGUGUGGAUCACCCUGAGGAGGUCAGCAAGCUUGCUAAAGUGAAAGCUCAGGUUUCAGAAGUCAAAGGAGUCAUGAUGGAAAACAUAGAGAAGGUAAGCCACUUUUGCCACUUUGUAUAACUCCUAAACACAACCACAAAACAAUGAU
This 74304-nucleotide long non-coding RNA is filed under the name Jatropha curcas. RNAcentral describes it as "long non-coding RNA (JCUR_LNC002687)". The stretch from base 62065 to 62148 matches the Rfam family "tRNA". Lineage: Eukaryota; Viridiplantae; Streptophyta; Magnoliopsida; Malpighiales; Euphorbiaceae. The record is from RNAcentral.